RNAcentral lists this long non-coding RNA (45175 nucleotides) under Fragaria vesca (wild strawberry). Its description in RNAcentral is "long non-coding RNA (FVES_LNC002317)". Lineage: Eukaryota; Viridiplantae; Streptophyta; Magnoliopsida; Rosales; Rosaceae. The record is from RNAcentral.
GGCGCUUGCAUCACCUUGAUCGUUGGGAUUCUUGACAUAGGUGUACUCCGACGGUACGGCGUUGAGUUCGGUGCCGGUAAGUGUCUUGAUGCUUGCUACUUUAGCAUCGUCGGCAACGUUGGCUGUUGUAGGUGCCAUUUGGGAGAGGUGAAACUAAAGUUUUGGAAUCAAAGAGAAUAGAAAUAGUGAGAAAGAAGGAAUCAAGUUUGGUAGUGAGGUCAGAUGAAUGUCUGGGUUGCUAUUUAUAGCCGAAAGAAGAAGGGUUUGCUCAAUCCACACGUGGAAAAAAAGGUUACGUUAGCUAUAUUUUAGUACAUAGUGCCGAACCCUUCACGGUAGAGGCCGGUAGCCAAAGCUGACCAAGUUUUUCUUGAUUGAUUCUAACAAAUGUGCAUGCCGAUGUCAGUAGAAGACCAUACAUGUGGAAUUUGCAAAUUGAUACCACCUUUUAACUUGUUACCCUUCCAUCAUUUUCAAGCUUCUUUGGUUUUUGGUCUCGCUUUCUUGGAAGAUCAAUGUGUCAAAAUCACACAUGUAGCCCCAUAUAGUGGAAUAAAACUUGACGAGGAAACAAACAAUGAGAAUAUAUGAAGCCUAUUCACAUACACUUGUUUUCGGAAUCAUAUAUACAAUACAACAUAAAUGUAAGACAUAUAUAUGCUACCGAAAAGAAAAUGCAAAACAUACUAAUAUAUUCUCUUCUUCAAUUUGUAUUUUAAAGUCCUCCAUACGCAUAAAUUGUGACUCAAAAUUAAAGUUUUCAAAAAACAUAUAAAAUUGCAAAGUAUUGUCUCACAUCAUAGAAAUAAGGAUUAAAGACUUAUAAUAUAGAUAUUCGGACGUCUCACAACGCUCACCGUAUAAUUACACAUGAAGCUAAAGUUUAGAUUUUCAAACACGUUGUGUAUGCCAAUUAAUUUUUAAUUCGGACAUGAUUUCUUCAUCUUUGGUAUAUUUUUUUAUAUGGUCUUGGUCUUCACUUAUGGAUUCUUCCAUACAGGCCAGGGAAUGCAGUCAUCACCUAAAGUCUUUAGUCUUUUCCUACGUAGGCUUCCGGCUUAGCUAAUAAGAGUUUUACUUGGGUUGUGGAGGAAAAACAUAAACUGAGUGAAUAAAUAAAUAAAUAUAUAUAUAUAUAUAUAUAUAUAUAUAUAUAUUAAGGACCUUUACGUAGUCUCUGAGAAAUAUAUCUGUGUGCUAGUUAGAUAUAAAAUAUGGUAAGACAACCAUAUGGUUGAUACAGGUACGUACAAUAGUCUUGGUCUAUGCAAAUUGUUAGUCAAGAAAUUAGACGCUUGUAAUUAAAGUGAUUCAAAUUUAACUGACUGCAUGAUCAAAAUAGCAGCUGAACAAGUUCCAAGUUCCAACUAGACAUGCAUAGUGAAUCUUCUAUUAUAAACCUCUCCAGGAUCUCCAUGCCUUCCAAAGCUAGGUUACCUUUGCGGCAAAGCAAAUAAAUUUGCAGAACCACUUAAUUUCAUAUAGAAAAGUAAACACUUCGCACAAAAGGAAGAUGUGGUCUGUAUUGGAGUCAAAGAUUCAAGAAUAGCUAGCGCUCCCAGCAGUGCAGACACACAAGAGGAUAAUCUAGUUUACAAUAAUAACGUCAAAAUUGCCCAUCAUUUGUAAUAAUCAAGACAAGUUUGAACGACAAAAAUUCAAAACAAGCCAGCCAAAGAAAAGCAUACAGAGACUAGAAUUCUAGAAUUGCGUAUGAAACUAGGAAUUCGUGUAAAACCUCUAGUUUACCUGAUGGACAGCUUUGUUUCUAUAUAUGCUUGCCAAUAUUGCAUGCAUUUGAAGCUCUAAUGUCAAGUAGUCCUUAUUAUCGAUAUAGACUUUGAGUACGUAGGUAAAGGGUUAGAAACCUAACGUACGUAUAUAGUAAUUUGCAUAUCAACAUUUACCGUUUUAAUAACAAUUAACAUCUUCAAAUUAUCCGUUUAUUUGUUUGAGACCUUCUUUAAGUUAUUAAUUAGUCUCUUAUAUAUGAAUAAAUUUUGAAUUUUUGAUAGAGCUAGCUAGAUUAUAAAAAUAUUAACCGUCCACAGUGGCUGAGCUACUCGAACACCAAAGGGUGUCACGGCACCCCUUACAUUUUAGCUUGUAAUGUAUAUGUAUUUCUUUAUCGUAAUUACAUGCAUAUGUAUAUGAGUUGGUUCAAAUGAGUACUUUUAUGUUUGGGUUUAUAACAUAUAUUGACACCCUCCUCAUUUGUAAUUUUUGACUCCGACCGCCACUGACCGUCCACUACAUUCUAUUAGUGUAAGGUUUGUGUACGUACUUCACAUUUCAUAAACUCCCCAAUAACCAAGGGUCAUGUUUGAUGGUAAUACUUUUACUCUUGAACCCCAGAACUCCAGAAGGAUGGGAUGUUGGACCUAAUAUCUCGAUCUCACCAUCACACUUCAAAGGUAUGUACAGUGUAAUGUGCUGCAUAUAUAUUAUCUGUUCAAAAUUUGUUUUAGGAUUGAACAGUCCUCUCUAUCCAAACUUAGAACUGAGCAUGUUUUUCAAUAUGGAAAUAUUGAGUUGUGAUUUAAGAAGAAAAAUAAUCCACAAAUGAAAUAUGUCUUAAAAUGUGAUUCAUGGCUUUCCUAAUAAGUGACAAGGUAAGUUAUUUGUUCCAUUAAUUGAUAUGGUUCACCUCCGUAUUUCGUUACGAUCGCAUUUUCAUCUCUCGCUUUAUUAGACUAUGCCUGGGGAAGAAUCAGUCCUCCUCAUCCUCAACUGCGGACUCCCAAGUACUUUUUAAUUUAGAACAAAGCAAGUCCACAACCACAUCAGGAGCAAUAACAUGGCCGUCCGGUGAUCAAGGACUUCGUCGUGAAGGUACAUCUGAAGACGUUAAUAUUAAUUUUCAUGUCCAUCUUCUGGUGAUCGAGGACUUCGUCGGUGAACGUACAUCUAAAAAUGUUCGUUAAUCGACAAGCAGAAUAGUUCGCUGAAUUUUUUUUUUUAUCUAAAUAUGAUUGAUUCGAAUCAUAUGUACAAAACCCUAAUGAACCCUUGUUGGACACACUUGUGUGUGUCUAUAUAUAUAGUUCAUAUCCCGAAACUUCAAUUCGCUAUGAAAAUAAAAUGUGAAGUUCCUUAUUUGACUCACUUUUUCGUCAUAUUUCUACAUCUCCACCUUUCAGUUUAUAGAAUCUUAUGCAUAGAUCACUUAUGCAAAGUUUCAUCUAAUUUGAUGAUCGUUUAGGUUUACUUAAAAGUUAUUUACACAAACAGUUAUAGUUAGACAAAUUUAUAGUCCGUUCAUUCAUUUGAUCUAAUUCAGUAACCAAACGAUUAUUAAUCUUGAUAUAUAUAUAUAUANNNNNNNNNNNNNNNNNNNNNNNNNNNNNNNNNNNNNNNNNNNNNNNNNNNNNNNNNNNNNNNNNNNNNNNNNNNNNNNNNNNNNNNNNNNNNNNNNNNNNNNNNNNNNNNNNNNNNNNNNNNNNNNNNNNNNNNNNNNNNNNNNNNNNNNNNNNNNNNNNNNNNNNNNNNNNNNNNNNNNNNNNNNNNNNNNNNNNNNNNNNNNNNNNNNNNNNNNNNNNNNNNNNNNNNNNNNNNNNNNNNNNNNNNNNNNNNNNNNNNNNNNNNNNNNNNNNNNNNNNNNNNNNNNNNNNNNNNNNNNNNNNNNNNNNNNNNNNNNNNNNNNNNNNNNNNNNNNNNNNNNNNNNNNNNNNNNNNNNNNNNNNNNNNNNNNNNNNNNNNNNNNNNNNNNNNNNNNNNNNNNNNNNNNNNNNNNNNNNNNNNNNNNNNNNNNNNNNNNNNNNNNNNNNNNNNNNNNNNNNNNNNNNNNNNNNNNNNNNNNNNNNNNNNNNNNNNNNNNNNNNNNNNNNNNNNNNNNNNNNNNNNGUAUAUAUAUAUAUAUAUAUAUAUAUAUAUAUAUAUGUAUCAUUUAGGUUGAUUGUUCGGGUAUCUCGUGUUUCUGAAAUGAACAUAACAUUGUAAUUUUUGAGAAAUAUUUGCCCCUCCUAGAAUGUCUUAAAACCUCUUGAGAAUUUUUAUGAAGUGUGUGAGCUAGCUAUCAAAUUUGAAAACACACGAUCUUAAUUAUAGUUUUGGGUUCAAGCUAGUCGGUGCAAAUGUUUUUAUUUCGUGUCAAUUUAAAAAAAAAAAAUUUAAUAAAUCACACACCUUACAUAUGUUUAGUGAGAUUUGAACCCAUGACCUCAAAAUUGUUAGUGAGUUUUUAUUUCGUGUCGUUUAUGCACGGAUUGUACUUGAGAAUGUUGUGCUAUAUGAUGGUUGAUAUAUAAUUAAUGUGAUAAUUAGUGUCAAAGGUGAUAAUUAGUGCGUUUGUGGGAGGAUUGAAAGAUGCAAAAGAUGAGCUCUCGAUCAGGCAAGAGUCUAAUUAGUGUGUUUGUGUUGGAUUAUUUCUUGUAUGGUGGGAUUAGUGGAUUAUCUACUGAUAUAGUGCGCGUACUGGCUGUUACCUCAUUAGAGGAUUUUAUUUCAAUAUAUUUCAUGUUAUGUUUUGUGUGUAAUUAAUUUAUUUUUGCUAUUCAUAUAUAUUGAAUAAUUGUAAAGAGUAAUGAAGCGGCACAACGCAGUUGUACAUUAUGAAGAUACAAGACAACUCAUACAAGCAUAUAAUUAAUUCGAACUCAUGUUACAUGGAUCUGUUGUAUUACAUAUAUAAUCUGAUAGAAUCCGGCGUUUAAUACUGAAUUAAAAGACAGAAUCUGACAACAAGAUCACUAGAGAUCCCCGUAGGAAAAAAAUAAAAUUAACUGAUCUGCUACACCGUUGGAGCACCAACGCUCAUACAGGAGCAUUAUUACUGUUGUGAGAUAGAGGAAGUGAUGAUGGAGGCAUGGAGCUGUGAGUUGGAUAGCAAGGGCAAGCUUUGGGCUUGGUUCACUCGGCCUUGACUCGCAGGUGAUCUAAACAAGGCAUCAUGUACGCCGCCGGACUGGCCUGAAGUUCCAUGAACUCUUCAUAUGACAUUCCGAUGUAUUUUGGUGCUUCACCGCCCAACAACUCCGGGAUUGGAAGAGCAGCAGUGUCAAGUGCAGGUCCAUGUGGUACAGCUAUGGAGAUCCUUGUAGCUCUGUUGUUCACAACAGCCCGAUGCCAGACGCUCUUGUACUUAUCAUUAGUCAAUAUCUGCAUUUGAUCACCAAUGUUAACAACAAAAGCACCCGGAGCACAAUCAACGAGCACCCACUUCCCGUUGUGCUGGACUUCAAGGCCUCCCAUAUCAUUCUGAAUAAGAAGAGUCACAAGUCCGUGAUCGGUGUGAGGGGGGAUUCCGAUGGCUAGGUCGGGCUGUGGACACGCCGGAUAGUAGUUAGCGGCGAGGAUUUGCAUGCCACGGUCCCAGUUCAUGGCCUUGGCUAUGUACUCAGCCUCCAACCCCAAGCUCUCAGAUAUUCCGCUCAACAAUUCGGUAGCAACUUGUCGAGUUUGUUUGCUGAACUCGAAUGAAACGUCGCUGUACUCAGCGGGCUUGUGGAGUGAGUGGAACUCCGGGUGUGCUAUGACCUUGAGGUAAUCCCUCCACAGACGAACCUUGUCGAUCGCAACGUUAAAGCUUGUCCCGCACUUGAUUGGUUCCAAAAGCUUCCUUGAUUGGAACUCCUUCUUCUCCUCCUCAGGAAGCUGAAAAAACUUGUGGCACGCCUCUAUCAUCGAUUUCAUCAGGCUCUCAGGUACACCAUGGUUGAUAACCUAAUCAAGAAAAAACUACUAUCAGCUACCGGCCUUCAUUUUGCUAUAUAUUUCCACAUAUAUUACUAGCUUUUGUAGUAAGAAAACUAUCUUCAUGUAUAUAUACCUGAAAGAAUCCCCAUUCCUCGCAAGCUUUCCCAAGCUUUUCAAUGGCGUCGGCACGGAGUUUUGGGUUGCUGGAGGUGAGAUGGGCGAAAUCGAUGGUGGGGAUAGAGUGUUCUGGGUCACUGGCAUCGGCUUGAUCGUUGGGGUCCUUGACGUAGGUGUACUCCGAUGGUACGGAGUUGAGUUCAGCCCCGGUGUCGGUAAGUGUCUUGAUGCUUGCUACUUUGGUUUCGUCGGCGACGGCGGUUGUUGUAGGUGCCAUUUGGGAGAGGCCGGGAAAAGAGAAAGAGACCUGAGUGUUUGGUUAGGACUGAUGGAAUGAGAGAGAAUGAUAUGAGUUUAGUUGUUGUGUAGGUUUGAAGAAAGAUCGAGUUGCUAUUUAUAGCGCCAGGAAGGAGAGCUCAAUUUUUCAACGUGGAGAAAUGCAUUUUGAUGAUGUUAUUUAUUUUAGUGUCGAACUUCGAAGGUGGGUGACUGGGUGUGUAGGCCGACGGCCACUGCUGACCAUGUUUCGAAUAGUAAUUGUCAAAGAAAGCCAGCCAGCUGGGACAGGCUUAUAUGGAUCAAGAUUCUUUUAGUGCUAUAAAUCCAUACUAAAGAAUAAAUCUUAAAAUUAAUCCGAUAUGAUAAUCAUAGUGACAAAACAAGAAGGAUCAAAAAAAAAAAAAACAACAAGAAUUAAUUUAACCUGCUUGUAAGCUUGUUUGAUUGGUUGCUUCCAAGAUUGGCACAUAUACAUAUGACUGGAAAUUUGAUGUGCUAUUCCUAGCAGGUUCCUAAUGAUCUGCCUCAUGAAUUAAUUAGCUAGAAUUAUGCUACUAAUAUCUUAUUCUUGUUACACUCGUCAUUUUAUUUAAUUAUGAAAUCAUUUUUUUAUUUUGGAAAGAAAUAUUAUGAAAUCAUUAAUUAGAUUUACUAAUACUUGAUUGCAGAUAGAGAAAAUGAAAGGAAAAAAAUCUGCCAAUAUAGAAUUGUUUUUCAGACAACGAAUGUGCAAUCCAAUUCACAAUUAGCUAAAAGAUCAACGAAAUCCAAGUCAACUCUCAAGAAACUAUCUAUCAAUUUAAUGAUGUUAGUCCGUCCCGGAGCAGAACUAGGGAUUAUAACUUUGGGUCAGCAUGCAUCUUACCACACGCUUGAACUGAUUUUCUGACUAGAAAACCCUAAGCGGCUGGUGUUUCAUCCUCUUACUAUAGUUAUCACAUGAAAUUCAGUGUUUGUGGUUUAUGAAAAAAACUUGUUCUUUGUGAUCGACCAAGCAGAUUACGCCUUUGUAUAAUCUUCACUUGAAAUUCAUCAAUAGCAUGGAACACAUUAGCAAAUAAAAGUGGUUGGAUUACACUAUCAUUCACAUCUCUACCAAAAUUAAUUUCCUCCACUAUCCUAUAGACAAUAUGCAUCCCACCAAAAGCUUACCCUACAGGCCUACAUGACAUCUUGUGUGACUAUACAUGAUCGAGCUAGACACAUCCCUAAAAUGAACUCUAGCAUAAGUAGUGGUUCAUCUAGCAUUAUAUAUAUUGCAAUUACUCAUCUAUAUAUUAGAGUAGUUUUCUUGUUAUUGAUUUAUAUAUAGCUUGCCAUCAUGUUAAAAAAUGUAUACUAUAAUUCAUGUCAAAAAGAGAACGACUUAUGCAUGACUAUAGCAUAUUACAUGAUGAGAAAUUAAACCAAUACCAUGCAUACAUGAAAAACAUUGCUCACUUUCAUGAUUUUUUUGUUUAGUGGAUCUUUAGAGAUCGGUGUCUUUCUGUUACAAUGGACUUAAUUUAUUGGUCUUCUCCGCAGUUUCUUCCCUACAGGAAAAUGCAGAUGAGUGAUGACCUCAAUUACCAAAUUUCUCUUAGCAAUCUUUACGUGUCGGCAAUGGCCGUUCCAAGACAACCAAAUUUCUUUCACCUUUAUGAAGUCGGUUCUGUUUCCGAGUGCUAUGUUUAGGGUUUCCAUGCAAGAGUACAACUGCAAGAUUAUAUUUAGGGCUCAGAUGUGAUGUGCAUGUAUGGAAAGACAAACAAAUGGUUGGUAGAAAGUAGGUCGAUGUUGUUCGAUAUCUUGGGGAAGUUUUUGCCACAUCGUUAAUGUGGUCAAGAGUUCAUACAUAUGCUAGUGAUACAAAUUUGACUCUGGAGCUCACUCUUUCAUUUCCGUCGUGUCUUUCACUAUCACUUAAGUAGCAGCACCAGAACGGCAGAACCAGUACGUACACACACAGCAGUACUGCUGAUCGAGUUAGCUAGCUAGCUUAGCUAGAACACCCCCGUGUCCAGUAAGGUCAAUAAUUUCCCGUCGUUUGAUAAUGAUUAAACCCACUUUGAUCCACAAUAUUCAAACCAAGCCAGCCAAGGAAAAGCAUAUACAAAUAUAUGGACGAACACUAUCGAAAAUAUCUAUCUUCUAGAAUCAAGAGAGUUUUAACAUUUGUGAGUACUUAAAUCACUAGCGCCCAGUGCCAUCCUAGCUACUUGUUUACAGGUUGGUGCAGAUGCUCGUGUAGUACGUGCCAAAGCCAUCCCAAAUAAUCAAAUUGAUUAUGAUCCUAAAACAAGCAUUAUUUGUUUGGGUUUGAAGAUUCCGAAUUCCCGACGGAUCAGGGAAUUCUUAUAAACAAUUCCCGGAUCUUAAAGUAAUCUCUACGAUGACGAAGAAAAUUCGUAUGAUUGGAAUUUGGAUAUAGAUAGAUAUACAAAAUACUGAGUCAAACUUUGGGACUUGAUUUCCUUUUCGGUUUGACAUUCAAAAUAGAUACAAAACAGGGUUCUUAAGCUUAGUUUGAUAUUGUGGUUUAAAAUCUUAAUUUUUUAAAAAUUUAGUUUUAAAUAAGCAACCUCCAGCUUGCUUUCUAAAAGCAUCUUCAGCGGUAUUGCUAAAUCAAAUUUUUUUUGAAAUUUGACAACUUUUCGAAUGAAUAGGAGCUUCAACAGUAUACCUAAAUGGUUGCUAAAUUUAAUGAUUGCUAAACAAAAUUGAUAAAUUUGUCAACUGAGCCAUGAAUUGCUAAAUGAAUACUUAUAUUUUCCUUUUUUUUUCUUCCACGUGUCAAUUUAUAAUUCGUUAAAAAUAUUACUUAACUUACACUUAGCAAUAACUGCUUGAGCCAAAUUCUUAUAACAAUUGCUAAAUCUCAUAAUUAUUGCUAAAUUUAACUAUAGGUUUAGUUACACUGCCAAAUUCUUUAUCGUGGUUAUUUAAACUAAAAAGUUCUACAUAAACGCGUUUUAAGAUUUUACCAAAUAGAAAAUUUAUCUAAAAUGGUGAUUAUAAGUGAUUUUAAUCCCCAAAACUCAAUACCAAACUAGGUCUAAGUAGUUCAAGAAUUUAGCCAAGGGGUGAUCAUUGAAUGGAAUCAAUGGAUAAUGUCAUGGUUUCCUGUCUUAGCUAGGCUAAGUCUACCCCACAUGUUUUUAUUGGCUGGUCACCCCAAUUUGGUCAGUUUGGUUUUCAAUUUUAUACGUAGAAUGAGAUAUAUACAGAGCAAAUAAGAAGAUUCGGAAGUGUCUUUUGGGGUUUGGUUCAAGGGGUGAGUUAGAUAAUUUAGUUAGAAAUUGUCAAACAUAUUUUCCUCCAACGAAACUUAUGCAUAAAACACGAAUUUGAUCCCUAACUUGCUCGUAGUUGUAAUCCUUUGUUGGUGUUGUGUGAUUGUUUUAUAAUUGCAGUUUAUUGAAUGAAAUUUUUCUUUAAUAAAAAAAAUAAAUUUGAUCAAAAAUGAGAUAUAUAAUAAUACUUCGGAAAAUAAAGAUGAAAAGUUUAUGAUCUAAAUAACAUUUAACCAAUGUAAAUAUUGUAAGUUCGACUCACAAAAUUUAAUAUUUAAUAAUAAAAAAACUAAUUCGAUCAAAAAUGAGAUAUAUAAUAAUACUUCGGAAAAUAAAGAUGAAAAAUUUAUGAUCUAAAUAACAUUUGACCAAUAUUGUAAAUGUUGUAAGUUCGACUCACGAAAUUGUAAUAUUUGAGUUGUUUAUCUAAGAAAAAAAAACAUUUGACCAAAGUAAAUCAACAGUUGUAAAAAAUGAGGCAGAGUUUUUACUUGCUAGAUCAUGCAUGGUUUUUAAUGAGGUCACAUUUAAUCCCUUGGGAUGUAAUAUCCAACAGCUUAUUAAUAAAAUUUAUUUUUGAUAAAGAAAAAAUCAACAGUUGCCAAAAAUCAUCUUUGUUAUGGACAGUAAUGUUGAAGUUGUUACAUAUGUUAUAUUAAUGAUAGUUAAACUGAAAUUCUUCAUAUCUAAUCACCUCCAUGUACUAGAUUUUGUAACUGAAGCCUCUAUAUUUUAGUUAAUUAGAAACCAAAACGAAGGCCACUGUACUUAACAACCUAGCUCUAAUUAGGACUAGAACCGGUCAUUAAUAGAAAUAAAUGCAAACUAGAUCUUUAAUCACCAGCCCGGUUGCAGCUCUUGAAAUUCAUUUUCAAGAAAUAUUUGACAUGCAAUCGUUUAAAACAUAUCUUGAAAGCUUUAACAAAAAUAAACCUAGUAAUAUUAAAGUUAAACUACUGCAUAUAAAAUGUUCGCAACAGAACUAAAAGACCGCUACAUAUAUGAACAUCAUCAUCAGUUUAGUCGAUCAAAAAUUGUAGUCUUUAAACUAUUAGUGUAAACAAAGCAAUUUGUAGGUGUACGUUGUUAUGUUAAUGUAAAUUUGACUCGUUAUUUAGUCUUUAAACUAACUAAAUAUAACAAGUUGCAUAUUUAUUCUGCUGUUUUAAAAAUCUCUUUCAAUUGAUUGCAUCACAGCUUUUGUUAUGCUAAAACCUACGUAAGUCUUAUAUGUCAUCUCCACAUUCUAAAUCUUAUAAAUUCCCUUCGAUAGUUGGUUACAUUUUGUUCACCCAUGCCACCUGAUCUACAUUUGGAGAAAAACAACUUUAAACCAUCACAUAAAGCCCCCCCGACAACUAAUGUGACAUAUUUACUAUAUUAUUAUAGCGCCUGACGCGGUACUGUUCCCGUGAACAGUGACAGUUGGGUUUGGGCUUUUUUUCUCUCCUUGGGCUUUUGGGCCUGCGUCUCGCCGUUUUCUCAUUCUUUUUCUUGCUCUCUCUCGAUCUCUCUCGAAACUCCACCGAAUCGUUUUUUCUUCGUCUCUAUGCGUCCUCUCCCUCUUCUUCGUUCCUGCCCUUUUCGAAAGGAGAAGAGAGAUCGCUUCCUCAACUCUUUUCUUUCUCGCUUUCGUUCUUCAAACUCAACCAAAUCUCUUGAUUUAGAUUCAGACUCUUUCACCGUUCUGAAGUUUUCUGUUGGAAACGAAUAAGAGUAGGUACUGUGUUCUGAAUCCUUAUCUGCGACGUUUGUUAUAGUUUUUGGGAUUUUGGAUCUUCGAUUUGGUACAUGAUUAUGAGAUAUUUAGAUAUCUCGACAUCUAUUGGUUUUGUUGUUUUCAUUGAUCUUCAGCAGAUUUGAUUCUGACACCUCAAGGUCGAUUGGAUUGGUUUCAAGCUAGGAUCUCAGUGAAUUUGAUCUUUCCAGGUAAAGAAUUUGAUAUUUUCAACUUUUUCUCAUAACUGGGUUUGGACAUUUCUUCUGUUUCUCAAGGAUGCGUAUGGGUGUGUUGGGUUCUUUCUCUGUUUUGCUUGCAUGUGCCGAUGGUUUGAUUGGGAUCUUAAUAUGCUAUUAAGAGUAUUUCCCUUUAUUACAACAGGAUAACCAAUUUCAUUGGCAGCAUAUAUAUAUAUAUACAAUACUGAACCUAUAAUCAUAUGACAUGGAAAUUUUUAUCCUUCUUUUCAGGUUGAGUUGAGUUUCGCAGUCAAGCUAGCUGAUUGUAUUGUUAAUAUAUCAACUUUGAAAAGGUACUUUAACUCCAUUAGGCUCUACUGNNNNNNNNNNNNNNNNNNNNNNNNNNNNNNNNNNNNNNNNNNNNNNNNNNNNNNNNNNNNNNNNNNNNNNNNNNNNNNNNNNNNNNNNNNNNNNNNNNNNNNNNNNNNNNNNNNNNNNNNNNNNNNNNNNNNNNNNNNNNNNNNNNNNNNNNNNNNNNNNNNNNNNNNNNNNNNNNNNNNNNNNNNNNNNNNNNNNNNNNNNNNNNNNNNNNNNNNNNNNNNNNNNNNNNNNNNNNNNNNNNNNNNNNNNNNNNNNNNNNNNNNNNNNNNNNNNNNNNNNNNNNNNNNNNNNNNNNNNNNNNNNNNNNNNNNNNNNNNNNNNNNNNNNNNNNNNNNNNNNNNNNNNNNNNNNNNNNNNNNNNNNNNNNNNNNNNNNNNNNNNNNNNNNNNNNNNNNNNNNNNNNNNNNNNNNNNNNNNNNNNNNNNNNNNNNNNNNNNNNNNNNNNNNNNNNNNNNNNNNNNNNNNNNNNNNNNNNNNNNNNNNNNNNNNNNNNNNNNNNNNNNNNNNNNNNNNNNNNNNNNNNNNNNNNNNNNNNNNNNNNNNNNNNNNNNNNNNNNNNNNNNNNNNNNNNNNNNNNNNNNNNNNNNNNNNNNNNNNNNNNNNNNNNNNNNNNNNNNNNNNNNNNNNNNNNNNNNNNNNNNNNNNNNNNNNNNNNNNNNNNNNNNNNNNNNNNNNNNNNNNNNNNNNNNNNNNNNNNNNNNNNNNNNNNNNNNNNNNNNNNNNNNNNNNNNNNNNNNNNNNNNNNNNNNNNNNNNNNNNNNNNNNNNNNNNNNNNNNNNNNNNCCAACUUAUCUUGAUUUAUAAUGUAUAUUAUCCUUUUACUUGUAGGUAUUCAUAGUUGUUCAGUAACAUCUUAGAUCUAUCGCUUCACUUAUAUAUUAGCACCAAUCAAACGUAAUGUGUAUGUCAAAAACCCAAAAUGGUUCGAUGUUAUGGAUAUCUUCCUGUUUUGUAGGUUGUGGUUAAGGUUGUGAUUUUGUUAAUCAGGUUAUGUUCUUCUCUUUUUGGUUUGGUGAAGGAUGUUUUUAAAAUAUCUCUAUUUACUACAUUGUAAUUUACUGUACAAAAGUAUUUUACUAUUUUGAAUCAAUUUAUGUUUUAACCAACCUCAUUGAUAUUAAUACAUCAUGUCUAUUGCUUCUGUCAUAGGUCAUAUCCAGUUAUUUGACAACAAUACACUUCAUUAAGAAUACACAGUAUUGUUAACACUUGAUUGUUCCUCGCAGCGAUGCGCGGGCACAAAAACUAGUUCACAUUAUUCCCCACCCAAUCAGAUUCUAUGCUACAUAAAAAAAUAAUAAUGAGAGCGCGCCUGCGAGGAGACUCGGAGAGCCUCGGUUUGCUUCGGAUCCUUAGGGUUCGAGUUUGGGCGGCGAUGCAUCUCCUUUGGGCGAGGCGACGACCGUGAUGGCGGUGAGACCGUGGCGGCAGCGAGUCCAUGCGUGUGGUGGCAGCGAGGGGCUCUGGGCUUCUCAGACUGAUGGCUUUUUCGGUGUUAGGUGACGGUGUUGGUGGUGGUUGGAUGCAAGAUGCGUUGGCCGCUGAGCUUGGAGAGGGUCUGCCUGAUAAUAUACUAGAUGGGUGCUGAAAUCGGCGACUAUAGUUGGCCGGUUUUGGGGGUCAACAUUAAGGGAUGAGGCGGUCAGGUCGGCCACUUCUAGGGUUGAUGCAGUUCGGGUUAAUUUGGGCCUGGCCUUGUGGAUCUGGGCCUGGCCUUGUGAAGUUGCUACUGCACUGCUUGGAGAGACCAAGGGUUCUGACUGGGUCGAUUUGGGCAUGAGAACCUAGGGAAUGACAGUAAUCACAGUCCCAUGUUGGGACAUAUCCCUACUUCAUCAUUGUGAAGAGUCAACCCCUUUUUUGUUAGAAAUGUACAUCGAAAUGGUCUCUACGCCCCGAUUCAUUAAGCUGAGUACUUUGAAUCGGUGAUGUAGGUUUUUUACUUUCUUGGUUUGAAUAAGUGUGUUUGAACAUUAGUUUUUUCAGGUUAGCAUUGUAGGUUUUCUUAUUUUGCAGACUUUGAUUGGGCAACGUAUUGUACAUGAAGUUUUCCUUACACAUUCUCUUAGCUUGACCUUAUAAGGUCAUAUGAUUGAAAUGAACGGCGCUUGACUCCAUUUUCCUUCAAAAAAAACAAAAAAUUCUAUGCUACAUCAAAUUAUUUGUAGGUGGCCGGUACCCAACAUUCCCCGAUAUAUAUAUCUUUAUGAAAAAAAGAAAAAAAUACAUCACAUCAUAACAGUAAAAUAAGAANNNNNNNNNNNNNNNNNNNNNNNNNNNNNNNNNNNNNNNNNNNNNNNNNNNNNNNNNNNNNNNNNNNNNNNNNNNNNNNNNNNNNNNNNNNNNNNNNNNNNNNNNNNNNNNNNNNNNNNNNNNNNNNNNNNNNNNNNNNNNNNNNNNNNNNNNNNNNNNNNNNNNNNNNNNNNNNNNNNNNNNNNNNNNNNNNNNNNNNNNNNNNNNNNNNNNNNNNNNNNNNNNNNNNNNNNNNNNNNNNNNNNNNNNNNNNNNNNNNNNNNNNNNNNNNNNNNNNNNNNNNNNNNNNNNNNNNNNNNNNNNNNNNNNNNNNNNNNNNNNNNNNNNNNNNNNNNNNNNNNNNNNNNNNNNNNNNNNNNNNNNNNNNNNNNNNNNNNNNNNNNNNNNNNNNNNNNNNNNNNNNNNNNNNNNNNNNNNNNNNNNNNNNNNNNNNNNNNNNNNNNNNNNNNNNNNNNNNNNNNNNNNNNNNNNNNNNNNNNNNNNNNNNNNNNNNNNNNNNNNNNNNNNNNNNNNNNNNNNNNNNNNNNNNNNNNNNNNNNNNNNNNNNNNNNNNNNNNNNNNNNNNNNNNNNNNNNNNNNNNNNNNNNNNNNNNNNNNNNNNNNNNNNNNNNNNNNNNNNNNNNNNNNNNNNNNNNNNNNNNNNNNNNNNNNNNNNNNNNNNNNNNNNNNNNNNNNNNNNNNNNNNNNNNNNNNNNNNNNNNNNNNNNNNNNNNNNNNNNNNNNNNNNNNNNNNNNNNNNNNNNNNNNNNNNNNNNNNNNNNNNNNNNNNNNNNNNNNNNNNNNNNNNNNNNNNNNNNNNNNNNNNNNNNNNNNNNNNNNNNNNNNNNNNNNNAAAUAACAGUAAUAUGCUGAGCACAUGAAUAAACAUUAGGAAUAAAAACACUCCUAGAAACAUUCUAAAUAAACAUGAAAGAAACUCAGUGAGCGCUUGAAUCCAAGUGUGAUACACCUUGCCUUGCUUCUGUAACAUGCCAUAUUUUUUCAGUGAAAUUAGGCUUUCAGUAUAGCUGAAGAUGCUGGAGCCCCUACGUCUUCCUAUCCAAAAGAUCCAAUAACCAGGAGUAGAAUAUGAGGGGAGUUGUUCUAUUUUCAUCGAAAGAUUUCUUAGGUCCAAAAAGUAACAUUCAUGGACUGAUGCAAAACAUAUGCCAUGCUCCCAUUCAGCACAAAUCUCUCCAAAACUAGUCCAUAUAGUCCAUUCAGGGAGGCAUUUCACUGUUAUAUUGUGAUGUAGCUCCCAUUUUUUCUCAUCAUCAUAACUUGUCAACACCCAUAUCUUAAUAUUAUCUUGAACAUAAUGAACAUCCACAAGAGCCAAAGAUCCUCUAAAUUUAAGCAAAUAUAAGCCAUAACUACUUGAGGGAACAAGAGUCGCACAAAACUCCUCACUGUUAAAAUUGAAUGAAAUCAUGUAACCGGGUCUUUCUAUUGUUUUGCAAAUCAACCAAUGCAUGUGUCCACCUACAUAUAUCGCAUUCUGGCCGCGUUUGCGCGGAAAAGAACUGCCUACAUCAAAAGGAGGAGCCAAAUGUAUCUGUCGCCAUGAGCUUGCACCUAAUACAAGAACUUGAGCCACAACACAGUUGUUAGUUGCCCAAACAUGAAUAAUCUUGUAUGUGCUAGUAAUAUCAUCAUAUCCCAUCCCAUACCAAUUAGUUUCCUUUGAAUAAAUAUGGGUGGUUCGAACCGGGAUGUUACUAAGCGGUAGCUCUAGAACUUCUUCCCUCAGCGGAUUGACCAACAAGCAUGGACCGGUACCGAUUUCUCUUUUAAGGAAAACCAAGUUGCAGAAAACAAAGUCUACUUCCAAGUAACGUUUCAAGCCAAUCUGAGAGACAUGUAUGGAUUUUGUCAGUGUCUGCUUUCUGCUGUUGUAUUUGAACGAUUGCCAUGUCUGUAACACUGACGUACCAUGCCUCCCAGCAUUAGACCAUAUAGUAACACGCAUAAGUGAGUCCAUAGCAGAGUCGUGUGACCGCAUGUUGUGCAGUGUAGCAAACUCGGGGCUGCGAGAUAUGUCGAAAGAGGUCUUAGACACACAUUGGACGCGACAGAGUGAUUCUACCGGCGGUCUCAUAAGGAUAUCGACGAUGACAUCUUCCGGUAGGUCCGUUAAUGUUGUUACCUUUGUGUUUGGAUCGCCAUUGUUCGAGUUUCCCUCAGUCUCGCCGGUGACAUCUUCGGCUAACUCAUCCGUCAAUGUGUUUCUCAUAAUCCAAAUAUUACUCAAAGUCUUCAGAAGAUCGAUACAUCUUUCUAAAAAAUUGCUUCUAUGCAUGAGGAUUCCUCCGGCCAUCGUUCUUUUUUUGCCUUUGUAAGAAGAAGAACUUCCGUUGAUAACAAAUUUCCUGGUAAUACCAGAGGCUCUCUUAUACAUUAUAGGAAUAGGAAUAGGAAGAUAAUCUUUUGGUGUUUGACUAGAAAUUAAUAGACAAUAAGAUUCUGCUAGCUUUGUUAGGAAAGUAUCUGAAUUUAUUUCAAUCAGAUGCGAUUACAAUCGAGUUUGUUAGGAAAGUAUAUGAAUUUAUUUCAUUCAGAUGCGAUUACAAUCGAGAGCUAUAGCUUUCUUUGGAUUUAUAAUAUACACCACCAAACUUGGCUUUACCUGGGCUUCAAAAUAAGGUCAUACUAGCUAAAUGAUGAGCAACCUUGUUAGAUUGCCUAUGUUCAUAGCAAAGUAUGGGAGAAGUUGAGCUAGCUAGCUUAGUUUUAAUAUCCACAAGGACAUGGUGAACUACGUACUUUGCAUGUACUGCUUGCAAACUUCAUAACAUGAUAGUUAGAAAACCUUAAACCCUAGUAUCACGAUGCAACCUUUACCGUCGAUCUUUAGACCAACGCCCAAAUGAAAAGUUACAUGUAAAUUGAAAUGAGCCUAUACAAACAUCUGUAUCCGUAACAAGCAGAAGCCAUAGUACAGCAACUCAGACAAAAUCAUCUAAAAGAGCAGUAGUGGAUUUCAGAGGUUGUACAUGGUACUGAUAUUGUCAACAUCACAGCAAUUCUGUGGUAGAUCUUCGCACUAUAGUUAUGAGUUCAUAUUUCACGACGGGAGGUUUGUACCAGUAAACAUGAGAGCACAAAAUGUGUAAGAAUAGUUGCAGAAGAAAGGCUUUGUUCGCUUUGUUUUUACACCUCUUCAAUUGUAACCGAAGGGGACGACACUCCAUUAAUUUGAUAGUAGUUGUUUGUACUCUGCCAGCAGCUUUGGGAUGUCAUCCAUACGCAACUGCAAAUCAUCAGCACCCAGUUAACAACAUGAUAAGGAAAAUUAAAGGAGAGAAUCAAAUAGAUGAUAUCACUGAUCAGUUGAGUAGAUAUGCCGGAUGUGCAAAAAGAAAAAAGAAAUCAGUUGCAUCUGGUUAAGAUGAUGACACAACGUAACAAUAUGAUAGGUACCUGGUUGACAUUUCUAACAUGAUAGAAACUAUAAGCCACUUUUCUAGAAGAAGCAGACUCAAUCAACUUUGGAUCAGAACCACCAUUCUCCCUACCAUAGCCAAGCAAAUACCACAAACAAAUGACGGAUUAAUCAAUCAAGUUUAAAAAUUGAAAGUCAACAAACCUUAUGUGCAGUGCAACACAUAAGUAUUAGGUUUUAGAAUUUAAAUUUAAGUUGAACUAUGGUGCAUAGGUAAUAUAUUGAACUUGACUUGAAUUUGUUUGUUUCACAGUCAUUGCAAUUUGCAUAUGUGCAGAGGUACUAAAUUCAAGUUGAAUUAUGGUUCAACUCUAAACUAUGGUUAACCUGAGAGAGAACAAUCCAGAUAGCCCUCUCCAUCCUAUAUCAAAUUAAAAGGUGAUAAUACUACCGUAAGUACUCAUUGUAAUGCAUAGUAACAUUGCCUCGGUUGUCAAUUGUCACCACGGUUAGAACUUAGAACUGUGUGUAAAAGAGGAGAACUGAGCAGAAUUAUCUAUUUUCUUCCUAGUUUUUCACUUGUUUGAUGAAUAAAGCUGGUUAAGCAUGUUAGACUUUUGUAAACAACCACAGAAACAGGACAAUUUAGCUGAUUGUAAACAAGUCAUGGUGUAAAACAUCAAUCUUACAGGUGACGACGAGUAAUUUGGCGUUGGUAGUCCCGCAGCAAAGGCCCAAGUUCUUUAAGUGGUAUGAACCUUGCAGUAGAAUUCCUCCAGUGGUCACGAAGCGCCUGAUGCAUUAUCAUUAAUAUUAUACUUUCCUGAACCAUACCAAACAUUUGUCUUCUUAUAGAAAAAUGAUGAUCAAUAUCCUACCUGAAUAUGUACCAUAUGUUCACCAGUGGACACUCUUUCUCCAACCAAACUUGAAGCUAGUUCAUUAAGUUCUCUGUCUUCUAACUCAUCCACAACAGGAACCCCAUUACUAGGGAGAAAAACUGAUAUUCCUAAUCUUUUUCGCAACUCUGAGACACCAGAUUCUUCUGUUUGGCUUUCCUCCUAGGAACAUGACAUACAAAUUUAAUAUCCAGCCCAAGAACAAAAGUUAAUAUCUAGUAGUGUACUAGUAGCUGAGGAAAAAUAUUCAAGAUAUGACACACGUGCUGGAAAUAUUGGAUCUAGUUGAACAUCAUCCAAUCCAAUUCAAUAUGAUGUUAGCAGAUCUGAUUCAAAGAAAACAUGUUUAGAGUAGAAGCAAGGCAGUAUGGUCGUUGGCAAAUAUAGAAUGAUUGGCAAUUACAGGCAGCAGCACCAAUACCUUGAGUUCAGAUUGGACACUACUACUUUCCAUCAUCACAUCCUUAUUUUCAGUAAGAUUCGUUGGUGAAGUUGCACGUAGCCUAUUUGCAAUAGGGUCCUCUAUACAACAGCAAAAUGUGACAAUUAGAAUUUGUCAGAAUAAGGUUUCAACAUAAAUUGCAUGAAAAAUCCAAGAAACAAGGUUCCCUUCUGCUUAGAUAGGGCAGUAAAAUGAUUUCCAUACCAAGAUCUGCACAACAGUUUCUCUCCUUUACUUAACAUCCAAGUUCUUUCUUUAAAUUUGAUAUCACAAGAGAUGAUUUUGGAGCCUUCUCAUCAUCACUUUGGAUAACCCCUCUAACACAGUAUUGUUUCAGAGUAUGGCGUCAUUAGAUCAAAGUCUUACAUUGAACUUUUUUCACUAUCACAUAAAUGAAAUUUGUAUGUGCUCCAGCAAGGGAAAUAAAUAUUUGAAUCAAGAUAAACAUUUUUCUUAAUUUUUUAAGAGAUAUUUAUAUGACCUAACAGACAAAGAGUUGAAGAGUCAAGUUCACGACAUUUUAUGCUAGGUUAUAUUAGAGGCUAUCACCUAACACAGCCGUUUUCUAGCUGUUACUGAAAAUCCUAGAAGAAAGAGGUUACAUGAUCACAAGCAGAGAAGUAAAGAUGAGAAAUAAUAAGAUAGUGUAGUACCUUCAGGGACCAACCACCACAGAUCACCAAAUGUGGAUUUGCCAUCAAAGCCACCAAAUAAUAGAUGACGUGAGCCAAUACAAGUCAGAGAAUGGUAUGCUCGAGCAGGAGGGGGUUCAUUGCCUGUAGGUAAUCGCUUCCACUGUGCAGAAACUAAAUGUUUGAAAAAAAAGGGGUAAGGAAUAUGAUUAAAUGCAUGAAUAUUCAAAGUGAAAGAUGAUGCGAUCUUGUCAUGAGAUGUAAGUGUCUGACACAAAGUACUUCAACUUUCCAUAAUCAAAGACAUUUGUUAUCAAAUAACAGGUGGAACCCAAUAAACAUGCAUACAAGGGAACCACCAAUUAACAAUUACGGUGUUAGAGGUUCCCUAUCCAAAUGGUAACAAGAAUAUUACUCUACUUUUGCACUUUUUUUUCUACGUAUGUGUGAUCUGGAGUGAGGAGUAGGGCAUUGUAUACAAAGUUACAGCUACCGAUUCUUUACUAUACUAUCUAGCCCGUAUAUGUAUCAUAGUAGCAUGGUGAAAAAUGGAUGGUUCAUUGACAUUAUGAUGGUCAACACAGCAUCAGCUAUUAAUUUUAAAGUAUAGGUAAGAAGCACUCACCCCUGUCUAAGAUGAUGCAGUCAUUGUAAUAGAUGUCAUAACGACUCAACCAGCCACCAGUUCCAUGGCCUCCAAAUAGCAACAGCUGCAUAAAUGGUUUUUGAACUCAAUUACAAAGCAUAUCAACAAACUAGAGUGAAUUUCAAUAUAAAAGAAAAUAUAAGAUUAACUAAUAAUCUCCAAUGCCAUCAUAAAAAUAUGAUCCUUCAAUCCACCCUUUAAUUGCAAAAUAUUUCCAGUUUUAUGCAACUGCAAUGAGGGUGACUUCCUGCCUAGAGAGAGGGUAUUUUUUUACUGGCGCAGCUGACAUAUCUACCACCCAAAUUUAAGGAUUACUUUGAGCCUAACUAAAAUUAACAAUAAUGCAUUAAACUAAAACAUAGUACUAUAUCAAACUAUCUAUGAAGAAUGUAAGAAGUAUGAACUUCUUCUGGGUCCGGAUGGUACAGAAUUAAUUUACAGUAUUGGUGUGGGUUAUAUUGAUGUAAGGAACAAAAGGGUUCUAGAUGACUGAUUCAUGAAUACAAAGGAGAAUCUUAAUCUUAAUGGGCAUGGACAGUCUCGCCAGUUUAUUGACAAACAUAAAACAAAGACAGAAAAACUAACAGAACUUUAAAUGUCAAUUACAUAGUGUCCUCCAGAUGUGAUGGUAUGGCCACAACGUGCGGAAGGAGCUUGACCUGGAAGCUUCAGUUGGGUCCAUCCGGGUGUUUCAUUCUCUUCCUUCCACAACAAAGACAAAACAAAAAUUUAAGUUGAAUAACUAAGAAACUAAGCAGUAAAGUAUAACAGUUAGAAUUGACUUACAUAAGGCCAAAACUCAUGAAGCUGAGUACUUUGAAAAAAAAAAAUAACAAGAAAAACCCAAAGCCAUAUACCAAAAGAAAAGAAAAAAUAGCCCAAUGCAUGUGAUUAUUGCACCACCAUCUCAAUACAAAGUUCAAGGGAGCUUCCAAGAGGGAAAUCCCCACAUUAAAAAAAAAAAAACAAGGAACAAAAGUGCGGCUUUCAGAGAAGUUCUUAUUUAGGGGAUUGGCAUGCUGACAGUAUACAAUAUCAAUGUUUUCACAAAUCAUAUACUUUCAGUACAUCAUAAAAAAUAUAAUCGCGCAGCAGAAUGUCUAGUAGAAAUUAGAGAAACUAUUGUUAGUUACAUGGCAUGAAUUAGAAGGCACAUCUGGACAUGCGCUUUUAUAGGAUGACAUGAUUUACGGCAAUAGGAAUAUAAGAUGGCUAUAAUCUUAAGAAUAAAAAUAGAAGGCAAGACUAGAAACAAAAAGCCACAGCAAAACUGAUCUUGAAAAACUGUAGAAAAGGGGAUCAACUAAGCAUCAGUAUCACUACUAACCUUCUUCGAUUAAACCCUUCAAAGCCCAUAAAUCACCCAUGAUGGGACCUCCACCUCCUACAACAUUCAAGAUAAUGUCAGCAAAAAGCAGCCAAAACCCCUUGAAUAAAACCAAUUUAUGCUUUCCAUUUUUUAAAUGAAACAAUCCUCGGUAAUCAAAUGGCGGUCAGUCAGUCAGACAGUAGAUGCUUGUUGUAUCAAAUUACUCUAGCCUUCAAAAAUCUGAAAGUAACAAUCUAGUGAUAUUAUCACUUGCUUUUUCUUGAUUUACUUGAUAAGGAAAAACCUAUCUGGCUCAUGCAGGAAAAAUAAACCACAGUUACAUCUGCAAUAAAGGAAUAUUCUGUGACAAGAAAGGGUCACCUUUACAGAUACAUUUCAUACCACAGAAUCAGCACUCAUAUUCCAUGAAAUGAAUAACCAAUUAUUAACAUAGUUGCAGCAUUGUACUUUACCUCUGCCACCAUACACAAGCAACCGUUUUUCAACCAUAGUAGCUGUGUGGCCACAUCUAGGUGGUGGCAAUGAUCCAGUCACUGACAGUUCCAUCCACUCUAGUGAUACUGUUCAAGGAAGAGUAAAGAAUCAAGUGAAUUUAUGAUCAUUUGAUUCAUUUCAUAAAGGAUCAACUCAACUAAACAUAAAGCAGCAAAUAGCAAAAUUAAAAAAAAUAAAAAGACUCAGAAAAACCAUUUACUUGUGUCCAAGACGUACACAUCUGACAACCACUUUUUACCAUCCCAGCCACCAUACCUGCAUUCAUUUCCAUAUUACUUAAUAAAAAUACUAGAGAGUUGUCACAUAAACUGGUAAAUGGAAAAGGCAAUGAUUAUAUGCUCACAUAAUAAUUUUCUGAUUUCCAAUAGCUGAAGCUGCAGCAAAGUCUCGUGCUGAGGGUAAAUCACCAAAGCUUGUCAACUCUGACCAUUGCCAUAUAUCUGGAAAAGACAAAUUUAAUUUACCCUCAGCAUGUCAAAAAGGAGGCCAAAACAAGCAUUAACCCAAGUAUAUUCACUCGUAUCACUCUAACACAUUUUUAUAAGAAAAAUAAAUAAUCUUACCAGUAUCUAGGACCCAAAAGUCACCUAACCUGAACAGGCCAACCUUAUAGUUAAUACAAUGUGGGGAGAUAAUCGAAAUAUAGCACAAUAUGUUGCAAGUUAGUGGAUGUCAACACACCUCUUGCUACCAUAACGCCCACCAAAGAUGAACAUAUGACAAUCAAUCACAACAGCAACAUGAAAUGCCCGAGGACUCGGACCAACUUGUCCAUCAGUGCCGCCAGUGCACUCUGGCUUAUACCAUAGUUUAUUAUCUGAAACAAUCAAAAGCCUGAAUGAGAUUCUUUACUUUUACUUGUGUGUAUGUCAUAGUUAAAUUUUUCCUCUUUCUUUUCUUGUUAUGAAAGAAACAGUCAACUUCAAAUUGCAAGAAUUUUAGUCCACACAAUCAUUUCCGACUAGAUAUACCAUGGUGCAUGAUGCUUUCUAUAGAAAGAAAAAUCGCAUAAAUUUAACUUUCCACUGUUCCAUUCUGUGUAUUAAGCACACAGUGAUUCUUCAAAGUCCAACUGAUGUGGCAAAAGAGGAUCUUGAAGCAAAAGAAGUAGGAGAAUCUGUGGAAGACAUUGCCGGCCAAUUAAAAGUUCCUUAUGAUUUACCGUAAGUUUUACCAUUUUUCAUAAAACUAAGUACAUCUACUUAGCUUGAGUGCAGAUAUCACAAGCACCCUCAUUUCUUUUGAUUUUACGAAUAAAUUAGAAAACCAUGGAUUAUUUGAUCACACAUUCUUCACAUUAUCUAUUUCAAUCCAUCCUUAACAAGAUAUUUGUUCCUCAAUACUUAGUCAAGCCUUUCACCAUUUCGACGAAACCAAACUACUGAUAUCAACUAAACCCUCCUCACUUGAACUGAUUUUGCAAAUAAAUUAGUAAACCCAUGGAUUCAUCUAUUCCGAUCCCUUCAAAUUUUGCAUUGUAAAAGUAAAACGGUAAAAUCCAAGUAAAACUAAGGUGGAAGGUGUGAGGGAUUGAGUGUACCAAUAUCAUAGACGACGAUAUCGGCGAGGAACUUCUUGUCCAAGAGGCCUCCGAAGACGAUCACUUUUGAUUUCCCAAUGUUGACGGCAGUGUGACCACUGCAGAAUUCAGUAUUCAAACUUCAAAAUUCAAAAAAAAAAAAGAAAAAAAAAGAAAGGAAAAUUUAACAUGGAUGAGAUUCGAUUAGAGAGAGAGAUGAAGUGGUGUGCCUGCGAGGUUGAGGAAGAGUUCCGGCGAAAUCAGAGGAAGAAGCUCGAACCCAGUAAUGCAUCUUUGUCUCUUCUGUGCUAUUUUACCGAUCCAAACAAAGAAAUCGGUUCUUUCACUUCUUUGAGGAGAGUUGUAUGUUUUUUCGUUUUUAAACCAAGGUGUAACAGUUCACGGUAGAAUCUUAGCAAUUCAGUACAAAAUCGGUCAUGUUUGUUUGUCACAAGUGGGACUGCGACAAAUAAGGGAGUGCAGUUUGGUUAGUUCACGUUACUAGGUAUUAAAUUAAAUUAGUUUAAGUAACACUGUGUUUAGAUAGUGUUAAACUGUUAGUGUCAAAAAUUUAGUAUACAUAUUUAUGUGUCAUACAAACUAAAUAUGUGGCUAUCAUUACUUGAAAGAUGUAGUCAAGUGAGCAUUUACCCCCUCCAAAUGCUCUUUAUAUGCCUUGCAUAGAAGUGAGUGGAUCACUUUGUCAAUACGUGGGUACUCAGGUUGAUCAUCUUUAGACAACACCAUCUUUUUAAACUAUAUAUAAACCAAACAAACUAUCAUCUAGUCUCGUUAAACACCAAAACAUGAGUUAAUAUUAGUACAACUUAAGACAACCUACAUCAAUCUAAGACAAUCUUAACAAAUAAAGAUGUGUAAUGUAGUCUUGAAUACCAAUGUAUAGAUAGGUAGAGCAUUCAUAUGGUAAGUGUGUGUGCACAAUCCUACCUCUACAAUAGUAGGAUGUGUCUAAAAAUUAUAUUGAUCUUGGUCCGUCUUUGUUUAAGAGCCAAUGCAUAUGUUAUGGGUGUGUUCGAUCAAUUUUCAUAUCUUAAUUUGAUAUUUAUACAUCCUAUGAGAUUAAAAUUUAACUCUAAUUAGAAUCGGCAUUGAACUCCACACGAGACGGCUCUUACCAACUUGACCCUCCAUGUCUGAGGAUCCCUUAUUUUUGUUUCCAAUGUGUCACUUGGAUCAAUUAGGCGUGUGGGUUUGUUAGAUAAUUCAAGCCCAAAUGCCAUACCCAUAGCUCUUGUUUCAUACAGACCAGAGCUAACUGAUAAACAGUUAAACACAGCCAAAGUCUCUCCGCUCCGGCGGUGAAAGAAAUCAAAAGCGCCACAAGCAAUGGCGUCGCUGCUCCUCUCACCUCUCCGCUUACGCCAUUUUCUCUACAAAAGGCCUAAGCUCAAACCCCCUUCUCCACUCUCCUUCUCUUCCUUCAAACCCCUCCUCAAACUCCGCCCUCGCUUCCCUCCCUAUUUACAGUCCUGCCACCGCUCUUCCACCGCCUCUUCCUCCCCACUCGCCGACUCCGACCACAAAACCCACGCGCUCCUACUCGGCAGAGACGAGCGUGCAGCACCACUCAAUGGGUCCCAUCCGCAGCCGCAGCCGGAGAACGCGACCACAAUCGCCGCCAUUGUGACGUCACUCGGGGGCCCGCCCGGUGCGGUCGGGAUCGUGAGGCUGUCCGGUCCGUCCGCCGUGGCCGUCGUCGGCCGCGUGUUCCGUCCGAGCAGGAGGAAGAGUAAGAGUAAGAGCCCAUGGCGACCCACCAGUCAUGUGGUUGAAUACGGCGUGGUUUUGGACCCAAACGGCAAUGUGGUCGAUGAGGUAGUCUUUAAAGUCUCUUGCUUUAGGGUUUAGGGUUUAAAGUCUCAUACUUUUAGGGUUUGGGGUUCAAAGUUUCGUACUUUGAGUGAAUGUGAUUGAUAUUGUUGAAUAAUUUAGGUUUUAGCUGUGCCUAUGUUGGCGCCGAGAUCAUAUACACGUGAAGAUGUUGUGGAGCUUCAAUGCCAUGGGACUCAGGUGUGUCUGAAUCGGGUUCUCAGAGCUUGUUUGGAAGCCGGAGCACGCCUCGCGGAACCAGGUGACUUCAUUUCCUACACUCUCCCACAUUUAGCUUACUUGAAAUGGAAUUGAAUUUUUAGCUUGAAAAUGUGUAACACUUUUGCUAUAAGAUUUGAGUAGAUACAAAAGGGUUAUCACAUGUAACACUACAUUUGUGAUUUUUUGUGUUGUAGGGGAGUUUACUCUGCGUGCUUUUCUCAAUGGCCGGUUGGACCUGACUCAAGCUGAAAAUGUUGAUAAACUGAUUUCGGCCAAGUCUGUGGCUGCAGCAGAUGCAGCACUGGCCGCAAUUCAGGUAUGCGUCUGUUAUUGUCUUCUAUAAUUAGUGUAUUUAUCCAACUUUUUAUCCAAGGAAGUUAUGAACUAAGCACUGACAGAAUUUGUAUAUUGGCAGGGUGGCUUUUCUUCCAUGGUAAAAUCUGUAAGGUUUCAGUGCAUUGAGUUGCUUACAGAAAUUGAAGCUCGGUUAGAUUUUGAUGAUGAGAUGCCACCACUUGAUAUCAAUCAAGUUGUAAAUAAGAUACAUUCCAUGUCACAAGAUGUUGAGAGUGCUCUAGAGACGGCCAAUUACGACCAACUUCUGCAAUCUGGAUUACAGGUACAAUUUCUAACAUUCUUUUUUACUUCAUCUAUACCAAGAAAGAAGCUUAUUUCUUUCACUUCACUUCUUACGUCGUAUGAGCAGUUGUGUUGUUUAUAUAUCUGGGUUUCAAAGUAAGUCUUUAUUCUAUGGAUGCCUUUAUGUGCACAACUUUGAAUACUUAAGCUAAAGUUAGGACUUUGAUAUGUCAAUGGUAAGUUUCUUUUUGUUAUGGGAAGCAAAUCAUGGGUUUUAUUUUUCAAAAAAAAAAAGAAGGAAAAGAAGUGUAUAUGGUGCCUUAGUUGCUUAAAGGGGACUUUAUAUUAGUUUUUUUUAUUGAACUCUACUUUAUUUCUUAAAGGGGACUGCUUAUUUGUGUUUUAUGGUAGUCUGGGUAUACGUCGUUGGUGUAUCCUUUUAUAUCUUUUUGACAUUUUGAAUGUAGAUGCCUUCUAUGUUUCCAUUAUCUACAAUUCAGACACUUCUGAUUUAUGGAACUCUUUUGAAUAUAUCACAGAUAGCGAUUCUGGGCCGUCCAAAUGUUGGGAAAUCAAGCCUCCUCAAUGCAUGGAGCAAAGUAAGUAGUGGCAGCUUAUGCACAUUCUUUUAUUCCAGUUGAUGAUGUGUCUGAUGCCAUAAUUUCACAUGCUUGCUUAUAUGUAGAUAUAUGCUGUAUCACUACCACACAUUGAAUAUUUUGAAAUCUCAUAAAUGUUAGUUCUUGGAAAAACUGCAUAAUAGGAUUUGUAGAAUGUGGAGCCUUUUUGAAGAAGCUGUCUUAUAUAAUCUACUGAAGUUACUUAACUAUGUUCUUGGAAAAAUUUUGGGUUUUACAGAUACCUCUAUGAAAAUGUUACAGAAGCAGUGAAACAAUUGGUAUAGAUCAUGUGAGGCUAAAUUGUUAAUUAAUAAGCACUCCAUUUGGUUGAUAAAGCUACUGAGUGGAUGCUAUCAUUUUUGAGUCUCUCGUCACUAAUAUUAACUUUAUUGGCUUUUGUUGUGGGUGUGUGGUAAGGUUAGAAGAAACAAUUAUAUUUCAAGAAGAAGGAAAUUUAUAGUGUAAGCCAUGUUUGAUGGGUGUGGUUUACUAAUGUGGUGUUUUCUCUUUGGUUGUUCUUUUUAUCUGCUUAGCAAUUUCUGGAAGCAUGAGAUGUUAUUGAAUGCUGCUUCUUUAUUUUAGCGUGCAGACUGAGAGAGCUAUAGUUACAGAAAUUGCUGGGACCACUCGGGAUGUGGUUGAAGCCAGUAUUACAGUUGGUGGUAUUCCUAUAACCCUUCUUGAUACAGCAGGCAUCAGGGAAACCAAUGACGUGGUGGAGAAAAUCGGUAAACUCUCUCUCUCUCUUUGCUCAGUCUUGAAUGGCUAGAUAUCCAUAGUUGAUGUAUAUACAUGAUGGAACAUGAAACCAAUUUGGUAAAACUGCCUCUAUUUUUUCUUAUUUUCUUAAAAAGACUACAAACAAGUUUGGCUCAUACUAGAAUACUUUUCUAGUAACAUAAGAAUUCGGUUAUUUUCAAUAUUGAUCAAUUUGAAUUGGGUAGGGCCAUGGGCCUUUCUAUGAAAAGUGAGAUACUUCACUGUAUUCCAUUUGGAGUGUUUUGUCUUUGCUGCUUCUAAGAUCCCAAAGAAAUCUGUACUUUACUGAGGUCAUUUUUGAGUUUAGUUUUAUAGUGACAAGUAGAAUAUCACCGAAGAUAUUCACAAUUGCAUUUAUUUCUGAGUAAUCAUGAUGUAAUCACGGACCAGUUGACAAUUGUAAUGUUGCUAAUUGGAUAUUAAUUGCUGACAACCAAUGAUAUCGUACUUCGCUGGAUGCUUGUUUUAUUAUGGCAUUGGGUAUCACUAUUGGAUAUCUAAAUUCCUUUAUCUCCUUUAUAUCACAGGUGUGGAGAGGUCAGAAGCAGUGGCUAUGGGUGCUGAUGUUAUUAUUAUGACAAUAAGUGCUCUUGAUGGCUGGAGUCCAGAAGACUCUGAACUUCUUGACCGAAUUCAAUCUAACAAGGUACCCUCUCAUUUCUCUGUCAUAUGAAUAUGCCUGUAUCUGCAUUUGUUGAUCCUUGUCUUUGAUUAUGCAAACUGCUGCUCAGGCUAUACAACUCUGAUCUGUUAUGUCAUUUACAGAAAUCGACUGGAUCUUCAACUCCAAUCAUCCUUGUAAUUAACAAAAUAGAUUGUGUUGCUUCUGAUUGCUUGGAGCGGGUUCAACAAAAUGUCGGUUCUUUCAAUAACCAUGUUUUGACAUCUGCAAUCACUGGUCAAGGAAUCCAAGAUUUGGAGAAGGCAAUAUUAGAUAUUGUUGGUCUCAACAAAUUUCGAGGAGGGAGUCGAAGGUGGACUGUGAACCAGGUUAGGAGUUGGUUAAAUUUAUAUAUUUUGGUGUCUGUGACAUACCAAAAAUUUAAAGCAUUUUCUGGUCAAGAUAUUUUUGUUAUUUUUUAUUUUUUGAGAAUGUGCUGGUCAAGCAUUUGCAAUCACUGAUUGUUGUAUAAAAUUUUGAUGAUGCAUCAGAGACAAUUCGAGCAGCUUGUCCGAACAAAAGAGGCUCUUGCAAGGUUGAAAUCCUCAAUAGAGGAGGAAAUUCCUUUUGACUUCUGGACGAUUGAUUUGAGGGAAGCUGCAAUGGCCCUUGGCCAAAUAAGUGGAGAAGACAUUUCGGAGGAGGUUUUGACCAACAUCUUUGGCAAGUUCUGCAUUGGUAAAUAGAAGAGCUAGAAAAUGUAUUGAUCUGUAGAAAGUUUUGUACCAUGUUAGAUAUGAAGGGAGAGACGGUUCUUUACCAUGAACAACAGAGUUCAUAAGAAAUUUUUAAUGGAAUAACAAUGUCAUGAAUGCUCUUUUGUUUUAUGCCGGAUUACUUGUCUAUAUCUAUCUUAGACUCUGAGUCGUUUUGGAGAUAGCUGAAUAUGAGAUCUCAGCUUUAGGUAUUAGGAACCAAAGAAAAAUGGCCUUUUUGUGGCUUGACAUGCAAUAUGGAAAUGCCAACAAAUGUUCUUUGGACGGCAAUGUAUAGAUGACAAGAGAAACAUUGUAACGCAAGAAACAACAAAUGAGACGGCUGCCACUUGAAAUCAACCCAGAUGGUACAAAACAAAAGCUGAUAUAUAUUCAUGCAUUCUUCAGAAAAGUGAACUGUAAUCCUCUAAAGCAAAAUGUGUUUCAAAAUAGGAAAAGAACUGACGAAGGAGGAACUAAAGGAGAAGGAGAAGAUAAUGAAAGCCAAGGAGAAGGAGAAGAGGAAAAAACUAGAACAGGAGAAAGAGUUGGAGAAGAAGAGGCUGGAACAAGAGAUGAAGAAGAGGCAAGAGAAAGAGAAGAAGAAACGUGAAGAAAUGAAACGAAAAGAGAAGGAGAAGGCGAAGAUGAAGAUGAAGCACAAGAUGAAGAAAUGAGCAGCUCAACUGGAUUUCCUCAGAUAGUCUAGUGUAACAUUUUGUAUUUCAACUUUUGGCCUAGUGAUUCUUGCCUAAACAGCAAUUUUUUUAAUUUCAUCAAGCUUUGUGUCCCUCAAAAAUUUGAAUUGAAUCUUCAUAAUGAAAAUUUGGGAACACUUACAAAAACGGACGAGGCAAAAUGAAUAUGUAAUUAUAAACUGAAUAAUGAACAAUUCUUACAGGAUAUUACAGACUAUAUCAUAACUUUAUUUUCAAGCAUCAAUGAGCCAUGUAGGAAAAUAAUGACACAGAGCCUGCAAAUGCUGGUUGUUUUACUAUUGAAGCUAUCUAUUCCCCUUAUACUUUUACUUGUGGUUGUGACUAACAAAAUUUACAAUGUAGAACAAGUCUACUCACUAACACCCUCUGCCUCAAUAUACAAUGAAGCUUCUCUAUCAGCCAACUAAAUCAUUGAUGUGUCUGAUAUGAAAGCAGUCACUGUGUUCUUAUAUCUGCUAAGAUCAAAUAAGAAAUGCACCUACGUGUCGAUAAAACUAUGAUUCAGGCACAUACAAGCACAACAAAUUCGUGGGACUGUGGUCGCACAUGAAGAACCAACGUUCCCAUCACCCAAGCACCUUCCGGAGUUCCUCAACCAACAAUGAUCGGCUUGAUGGCUCAACCUGCGUUAGAAUUUCAUCAUUAGCUCCAGGUGGCUAGAAAUAAAAAAGACAGGAAUUUGUAAAAAAAAAGAAAAAAAAGAAAAAAGAAUAAACAUGAUGAUUUACCUUGCUUAGAAGGGCGGCAAGACCUUGGGGUAGGGCUUGCAAAUCAGAAGCUGAGUUGCCAAUGGUUGCCAAUUGAAGCAAUACCUUCUGGACCCGAAGUUCUUUUAGCUUGCCCUCAUAAUUUGUUUGAUCAUCCUUCCAUCUAAAGAAAGUUUCAUCAUCCUCCCAAGCAUCUUCUUUGCCUCUUGAAACAUCAGAACUCAAAAACCAGUUCUUGAUCAAAUCCAUAGCAGAUUUAUGUGACAGCUGUUCACCAGCAGCAUCUCUCACUAUCUUGAUGAGUGACUCAUCGGCAAUUCUCCGACGCAAUCUCUUGUAGAAGAAAGAUCGAGAGCUGGCCCAUUCCAGAACUCCUCUGAUUACCCCUUUUGCAGCCAUCCUCAGAGAAGUAUCAUGAAGUUCUGCAAACUUGGUAGCUAUCUGAGUGUAGACAGGCAAAAGCUGUUUUUCGCGGGAUCGUAUUUGAAACUGUAGGGACUCAACCUUUUCAUUUGCCUCACAGCUCCUGGCUUCCUGAAGCUGAGUCUUUAGUUGGAUCAGCUGUUGAUCAAGCCUGCCCAUGCACUCCAGCAAUUCCUUGUUCCUAAACUUGAUCUCGAUCAUCCCCUCUGGCUCAAGCACAUUUCCUCUAGCCGUUCGAUCAGCAUACAUUUCAAUAUGGUCUGGAUUUAUCCGGCUAUCAACAACCACCCAUGCUCCACCACGUAGCUCCCCCAUCAUCGGGAUGAAUACAAAAACAGGCUGUUUGUAAGUCCUAAGGUUCUCCACAAUGGUUGAUCCAGCCUGAAGAAUCCCUUCAAAAAGGUCUCUCUGCCCACCAGAAAAGCCUCUCCAGUUGGCAAGAAUGAAAAGUGGGAGUCCUUCUCUGUUGAAAUCUAAUAAUGCUUGGGCAGUCUUAGUAGCAGAAUCAGGAAACCAUACUUGUCCAGCCUGAGGAACAACCCUCUCAUGGGAAUCAAGCUGGCCUGGAUCAGCAGGGAUAAUUUGCAUCACAGUCUGUGUCUCAACAGCAACAAUUCCCACAGGGAUUCCUCCAAGCUUCGCCCUUCCAGUAACCACCGUCCUUGCCCAGCCUUCUAGCGUCUCAACAAAGCUGUCUUUAUCAAAUAUACCCCCCAUCCAGUUCCCAUUACCAUUCAGAGCACCAGAAAUCGCAGCUCGAGGAUCACAUGAAUUCUCCGGGCAAUACUCCACGGGCCUUUCUGGAGGAUCCAAGGGCAUCGAAAUGGGGAGUGGGCCACCAACAUGAGGAGGAACAUAGCUCAGCCACUUUAGAAUAGCAGAUAUUCCUUCAAGAUCAUCAGCUACCGUUAGAUGGACAACCCCAUUAGUUCCCAUAAUUUUAGGUCCUCCAAGUUGCAUAUGGGAGCUGUACACCUCCCGACCAAGUAGUUUGUUUAAUGCAGAGAAACCAGUUAAAAUGAUGGGCUGAUCAAGCCUCUGUAUGCACCGCAUCCCAAGCCUUGCAAGAUAAGCACCUAUACCUACAGUUCUGCCAGUCACAUAUGUUAAGGUAAAGGUUUCCUUAUAUGCCCUCGAAUAUGCACCAGCAAUUGCCCCACUUCCAGUCAAGCUCUCAACCCCCAAGCCAUCCUCCUUUCCGACAAUGGUAUCUAUCACCCAUCUGGUUUCACCACUUGAUAGCUUUAUUUCAUGCGCUAUCACAGAAGAUCCAAUCCGAGCAUAGUCCUCAGAGGUUAAAUACACAUAUUGGAAACCACGUUCAGGGCUUGAUUCAUCAGACCAGCCCACUUUAAAACAGGAUUUGACUUCUUCAGCAACCCCAAUACGAGCACCUGAGUUUGCUGCCAAGUAUAUUAGAGGCAACUUCUCAGCACAAGCAAGCUCAGUUACUGCAAAGAAGAAUGCAUCCUCUCUUGGACCAAAAGAUCCAGCUUUGUAGGUCACAUCAUUUGCAACAACCAAUAUCUUCCUUCCAGAAGGGAACUCAGGGGUAGACAUUUCCAUAAACCAUGCUAUCAUACCAACAUCAUUGAGUCCAGGUGGACGCUCUACGGUAAUGAGAGGAGUACCCCAGCUGCCUUUUUGGUCAGCGAAUUUGAGCUCUGUGACCUUGAGAAUUUUACCCUUUAGUUUGUUAACACUUGGUGACUGGGAUGCCCAUGACUGUUCCAAGGCCGUCUCAAACGCCUAUUAAAAACAUAAAAACACAAGUUAGUUUUACCAUAUCUGUAAACUGUGUAAAACAUAAAAUUAUUUAUUGAAAAAGAAAAAAAAAAUAAAGAAACAUUCCUAUCAGACAUCUCACCAGUGGAAAAUCAUAGCAGUAAGUGGUGUUAGUUCUCCUGGCCAACAGACGCUUUCGGUCAAUAAUCCCCAAAGGCUGAUAUUGCUCAUUCACUGGUACACCAUGCAGGGGACCCUUCACAGAGACUGAAUGGUAAACCACUCUCUGUUUGCUAGUAUCUUCUUGUUCCCGAUAUAUCUGAAUAUCAUGUUGACCAAAAGUACAAUCAUGACUCAUAAUUCAUAUUCACAUUGUCGUCUGAUCAGAAUUUAGAAUAACAUACCGGUCUUUUGCUAUAUUAUUCACAGCUUAUUUAUAUUAUUGGGGUUUCCUUGAAUAAAAGAUCUAAGAAAAAAAUAUGCAUGAAAUAGUGAAGAUUUUUUUUUUUACUGAUAUUAUUCUUCCAUUGGUUAAAUGAAGAUUUUUUUUUCCCUGAAAAUAAAUAUAGAUUCUAUCUUAAGUUGAAUAAAAUGUAGUGCAAUGUCAGUAUUAAAGAAAAUACUGAUAGGACCCAUCCUUUGUAAACCAACCAAUGAAUUCUUAAAAAAAAAAUGCAAGCAUAUUCUUCAAUGAAAUGUAUGCGAUAUAUAUAAACAUACAUGUACAGUGCAGGUAUGACCGGUCACAUUUGUCACGACAACCCUCCAAGCAACGUUUGCCUGUCCAGAGGAUGCCAUCCACAACUUCACUUCCCACUCACAAACACCCAACCUAUGCAUCCUUACACCAACUGAUGCGUGGAUUUCACGUGCAAGUUCUUCCAGGAUGGCCUCCACCACAGUUUCUUCUUGUUGAGCAUCUAAAUCAACUCUCCUACACAAUAAUACCAAUAAGAAAUUCUAGAAAGUUGGCUGUCUUAUCAUGGAAGAAAAAAAAUUGGAUGGGAAAAAGAAAUAUUUACUUGUGGUAAGGCAGCAUAUCAUUAAUUUGUUGCUCACGUAAGAUAUAAAGAUACAUAUGGGUGUGGUCAGAUUUGACAGUGGCAUUGUGCGCAUUCAAUUCCAGCUCUUCCAUUGCUGUUGAUAAGGACCUCAAGAUGCUCCUCGAAGUAAAUGAUAAAGCCAAUUGGUUACUAGCUGUUGCGAUGUCUAGCCGUUGAAAUCCAGAGAACCCUUCAUUUGUUGUGGGCUGCCUUACAAGUGUUCUGAGGAACAUCCUUUGGAUCGGUAGCGGCUUGUCUACAACGGUGUACAGGUGCCAUUGACGGUCACGGGAUGGGGUAUACUGGAUAUUCUCAUAGCCCUUAAGCUUGUCCUGGAUCAGAAGAAAUGUUGAGUUACUUCAUAUCAAGGGUUAAUGCGAGAACAAUUUGUCACUCUUAACAUAAGGGCUAGGCAUAAAGCCAGGAAAUUACCAAUUCAAGAUAAAUAGAUAGAGGAGGUUCUAGGUGACGCAAUAAGGGUUCUUCUUCAAAAUAGAGUUUCUCUGAUGACCAGUGGAAGGAGUGCCUCAUAGGGGGCCGCCCUUCAUCCCUUUGUAUGAUACAACUAAUUACUGUGACACCUGCACCAUGUAGACUGGAGGCUAGUCCUUGCUCUUUAAGUAUUUUGGCUAACUUCUUAAUUCUCUCUUGAGCCUGAUCCUCGUCGCCACUGGCAAAUAUCAAAAGACAAUGCUGGUCAAGAUGGUAAUUUUAACUGUAGGUUCUGUUUGACAUGUCUUUGCAGAUAGACAAAGAAACCAAAAAAUGUCUAUGACAAGAUGGGUCCUCCAGAAAUUUUAUGUGCAUACUAAUCCAAGUCACUAAGUUAUGAACCAAUUAAAAGAGAACCCCAGUAUUGCAGAUAAAGUAUACACUCUAACAUGCGAAGGGGCUCCCAAGAUUCAAUGCAUGAUUAACUUUAAGUUGCAAACUUCAAGGCUAAAAUAAUGGGCAGAUACAGUACCUAUCCUGUAGCAGACUCAUCUGAUUGUUGAUGCCAACCAAAGCAAUAUGCAUCAUAUUACCAAAGCCACUUGGUUCAGUAGAUCCAUUUGGAGUUGCUUCAUGAAGGUUAUGCGACAUUUCCUUCAGUGCACCACUAAUAAUUGCUGGAAGAAAGUGAAGAGAUUUUAUUAUAACCAUGACUCCCCAUUUCCUCUCCUCGUGUUUCUGAAGGAAUGUUUUAUUAACUGAUUGAUCUUCAAUCUCAUGUUUCCUCUCAACAGGUUCUUCCGAGAACUCCCAUGAAGCUAUUAGACCUGAUCUGUGCCACUGCAUCCUGACACUCCCCUUUACAAGGUAGGGCUGAUGACGAAUAAAAAGUUAAACAAAGAAAUCGGCUAUUGAAAGUAAAGUAAGCAGCAGUGAAAUGUUAAACCACAGUACCUGGUAUAACCGGCGUACAUAACUUUCGACAACCCGCCUCUGAAGGGUGUGAUCACCAUGAUCAAACAGACCAACAAGGGCAUCUUCGACUGCCAAAGGUGCACUCACAAGAUCCUCCAUUCGUUCAUUUAUGGCACUUUUCCUCUUCGGAGUAUCCAUGGUUUCACCAUCCUCAGUAAACAUCUCCAACUCAGAAAGACUUCUGGCAAUGCUAGAACGAAGUUCACUCAACUUGGUUUGCUCCAUCAGCUGACUCGCUUUUAGUGCCAACUGUAGAUUUAGAGUAAUUAGGACUCUUCAAAAACUUAAGGAUACUAGUCUAAAAUGGCGAUUAUAUUUGAAAACUUAAAUAACAAGAAAGAAAUAUAUGUAUAUUAAAAGCUAACAGUUAAGCAACUUGGUUAAAUUGGUGCAAUAGCCAACCUGAGAAUAAUUUGUAUGGUUAAGUGAAGAAAACCGAAUUAGCUUCUCCCUGUAUGCUGCAGGGUUGGGGUAUACCAGCUGUUCCAUGAGUCGUAGAAUCAGCUUAUUUUUAUUCUUUACACCCUGAAAGCAAGUGAUAAACAGUACUGUUACAAAAUAAUUCCAAUAAAAAAUUGAAUGAGACGUGGGGAAGGCAAGCAGACCGAGAAUGUUGUAAUUUAGGUACCUGAUGAGAGAGCACAAUUUCCACAACCUUCAAUAGAUCCUUCUUAUAUUGAAGUCGAAGGCGCUCAAUUACAUCAGCCUGGAGCAAAGAAAUAUGAUAAUCUUAGGAUUCAAGCAUCGGAAUAUACUUUCACAAAUUUACAUAGUUCAUAUCUAUGUGGGGGCAGCUCUCAAGUCUCUAAUUUAACUGGUUGCAGCAGAACUACAAAGCUAAAUACCAAGCUUAAAUUCCAAUUAUAAGUAACCAAUGUAUUUAUUUAUGAUAACUUGAUCAAGUACAUAUAAAACAGAGAAUCAAAACCAAAAGAGAGAAAAUAAAAAUAAAAUCAAACUGAGACAAAAAAAAGGUUAAUUAUGAUUGAUGACAUGGCCAAACAAAGGAUUGGAAGUUAUACACCACCUUAUAUUAAAAAUAAUAUAAAAAAACAAUUAUGACUACCAAGCAUGUUUCCGUGAUAUGUAACAAGAAAACAACUACAAGUGGUUUGGUUUUUCUCUUGUAUGCAUGACUAUAUACUGUUAUACCAUAAUCAUGCCAGCACGUUGAUUCAUUAUAAAACCCAAGAGCAAAGGCCCUUUAUGAGCAUAAGUAUGGUACAUCAAUAAAGUAUAUUGAAAAAACAAACUCCAUUCAACUAUGCACACAAAAAUGGUACUGGAGUUGCUCACAUUAAUGGCUUGAUAAUUGUAAACAACUAUUUUUUUCAUGGUGAAAGUCGAACCUGAAUGUUGUCACUGAAUAAUUCUUCAACUGACAGAUACUCUUCAAAAAGGGAUUGAACAAUAACUCGGGCAUGACUUUCUCUUCCACCUUCAUAAGACUUCACAAGGCUCAUUAAAGGUUCAACAAGCCUUUCUUGGGCUCCUUUUUCUUUAUCAGGAGAGGAGAACAGAUGAGCCUGCAGAUACAUCAGACCAAUAUUCUUAUGAGGAAGAUGAAAAAAGAGAAGAAGCUAGAUGGAGUUUGAAUACAGAACUCACCUCGAGAACGCUACGCAACAAUUUGGCAGGGAAAUCAACAUUCUGAGAGCUAGAAAUCAGCUCAAAAUCCUUACAUUUUGAUUCCAGCUGUAAAGUAAAAUGAAAGAAGAGAUAUGAGUAAAGACUAUUGCAGAAUAAAUCAGAGGGAAAACCCACCCAGGCCUGCUUACUUCAUUUUUCAGAUUCUUGGGUAGGCGGGUUGCUAAAACAGCCAAGCAUUCUUGCCAUUGAAGGAAAGGGAGUUCGGGACUAUCUAGGCAAUUGAGCAAGUUUUGCACUACCUGAGAUAGAUGACAGACUCUUCAAUAAGACGGGUUUAAGUAUGAUGUAAUGAUCUACCAAAUGAUAUUAUAGACAAGAAAAAGAAUAGAUAAAUACAUAUCUCAAAUAUUAUGUUUUACAAUGAAAGACAACUCACUUCAUCAAUGUUAUGCUCAUAACCAGCAAGAAUCAUUCGGGCUGCGUUUAAGCUUGCAGCACAUCUCUGAUGAACUUUACCAGAAAUUGCAGUUGGAGGCCCCAGGACAGGGAAGCUUCCAUGGAAAGGUUCUGCCUUUCUUACAGCCGAAGGGUCAUCUAAAUCAAGCCUUGCAAUAAGUUCACCAGCCUAUACAAAAAAACAUUAACUUUUUUUAUUUCCACUAAGAUAAGAAUGUCUUUUUGUUCUUUUAUUUUAUUUAUUUAUUGUGAAAUUAGUACGUGAUUUACCUGCAUUGCCUGGCCUUCAGACAAUUGAAAGUGGAUAACUCCUGAAGCAGGUGAAAGUAGAGGCAUACACAUCUUCAUAACCUCAACCUCCGCAUAUGGUGUAUCAGCAUCGACAUGACUAUCAUCAGCAACCAAGAACCUCAACAGCUUGCAUGGUGUCUCUGCUAUUAACUUGGAUGGAUCAUGAUCGUUCUAGAUUCAACAAAGGUCAACUACUCAGCAUAUGUAAUGUGUGAGCAAGCAAGCGAAAUGAGGAAAGAAGAGCAGUGGAGGAACCUGAAGCAAGCAUGUCCGUCCAUCAAUAAGAAGGCGAGUUCCAGCUGCUUCUUCCUCUGCAUAUAUAAUGUGACUGUUUCCAUCCAACUGUAACAACAUUUAAGUAAUAAGUAACAGCAGCAGCUGACAGGUGCAAUUAUACAGUAUGUACCAAGUGUUGGUGCACAAGAUAUUGUGGAUGCAGCAAAUUGUAAGAAUAUAUUAGCAUGCCGACAUUGACAUGAUUAACCUGAUUGAUGACAUUUUUAGAGGUGCCAAAAUACACUUCUUUAAUCAAAAUGACAAUUACUGUAUAAAUUAAAUAGUCCUACUACAAGAUAAGUAAUACGAAAUAUGAGCAAGAGUAGAAUCACUUUUGGAGCUACGACAUGAAAAUUCUAAAGACAAUAGUUAUACUUGCCUGCAUCAGUAAUCCUCCAUCGCGUAAAGUAUGUAUCUCUGCUUCAACCUCUGAGUCAUUCAUCCGCAAUCUAUAGUUCCCAGGGCCUCCUCUCACCAUAUCAAUCUAGAAUAGUUGAUUGUUGGUUAUAUAUAACUAUUGAUUCUACCAACAAUAAAUCUCCUAAAGGUCCUAAGACAUAAAUUAGACUUGGAAUGAACCAACAUCAUAGGAGAAAAUACCGUGUAUUUGCUCCCCUCGAUGUUCAAAGACACUUGUGAAUGGACAAAUGAUAUAUGCUGCAAUCAGGAUCAUAAUUAAAAGAAAAAUGUUAAUUAGAAAAGACACAUAAUCAUGUAUGUAGAUUAAAACUUUUUACAACCAUACCUUAGGUGGGAUUUGCCCCUUCUCAAGAUAGCCAAUAUAAUCUGAAACCAUCGCCGCACUACUAGCAGAUGCUUUCUGAACAUGACAUAGGUAGGAACCAUAAGGGACACACUUUGCAAAUGGAAUAAUAAAAAUUAAACAACAAUGAAAAUAGUGGCACUUACAGAAAGAGUCCCUCCAAUUACAGACAGAUACCAAGGAGGCCUUUCAGUUCUAACUCGCAUAGCAAUUCUACUAUCCAACCAACCUGUGUGGAUUUUAUUUUCUCUGUAAUCUGAAGCCUACAACAUGUUAAAAAAACGUUACUUGGCAUGCCAUGAAAAUAUUAUGUCAUUUACAUUAUCUAUUUCAUUGAUUACGGUAUUGACUUCAUUCAGAGAUAUUGUGAAGAUUACAUGUAAAAGAUCAAUUGAAUAAUCCACAUUUGUUCGAAUUUCUCCUCGAAUUUGAAUUUCCUUCAGCCCAAGAACCAUAUUUGCAAUAGCUAGAGCUCGAGACUCUCCAAAUGCAAAAACAUGUCCUGGAGAACAAAACAUAUAAUUUGAGAUUUUAAAACUGUAUGGUCCUACAUUAUUUAGAUUGUCUUUGCUAUUACCGAAUAAAAUAGAAAAUUCAAAAAACUUAGCAGUAUACAUACCAAACUGAGAAUCUGAGAACUCAUGAAUCCCCCCUCCAGACUGCAAGUCAAAACAUCUAUCAGAAUUAGUUUGAGAAUUACAUCUUCCUUCUUUCCUCUUCUUUUCUGAGGAAAUGCAUUGUUAUCAACUUCCGAGAUUUUACCUUAACAGAAAAGUAUGCCCAAACAUUUGGCUUGCUUUUGAAACUCAGCUCCUGCAUAUAGUAGCUUAACUCAGUAUAGAUCCCUCAAAGCAUUAUGGGAAAGAAAGAAAACGUGAAACUGACGAGUCAUGAUAACAAACCUGAACUUUCCCACUAGUAGGUUUAAAGCCAUCAUCUGGAUCCUCACUUGUUACACGCACAGCAACACAAUGGCCCUUUGGCCUUGUAGAUUCUGCCUUGUCAAAGUCAAACGGGGUGGCAACAACCGACGUCUUUCUCCACGCAUCAUAUCCACUACCAUGUUCCAUUCCAUAGAACCGCCUUAUCUCUAAUCAAAUGAAUAAAUGGAAAAAGAAAACUUGACAAAUUAGAAGUUCGACUCAGACAAAUAAAUAUAUAUUUGAAAAAAAAAAACAGUUCCAGAAAAUAAGAUGAUACCAGGAAUUUGCCAGAGAGGAAUGCCCAUCCCAACUGCAACUUGGGCUGCUGGCAGAUUUAUUUCUGCUAUCCACUCAGUGACUGGGUGCUCCACCUACAUUGAAUUAAAUCUACAGAUUUAGCACGUUCAAAUUAAAUGUUUUGAGAAAAAGAUGCAAGAAUAGAAGCCAACUCAGUUUGCCCAUGGAUAGACAUUAGUAGAAGCUAUACAAAAUUCUUGCUAUCCUACUGAUCAUAUAAUUCCAAUCCCUUUCUAAGAGGUUGCAUUAAGACUGAUGGCUUGGUUAGUACAUAUAAAGCAUAGUUUCUUUUUAUGUUCACUUUAAUCACACACAAUACAUGUGUCACUGUAUUAUUCAAUAACCAAAACAAAUUUAAGAUGGUAUUUGAGAACAGUAAGUCAAAAUGAGACGGCAGCCAAAGUUAAGGCUUGAACCCAAAUAACACACCUGCAACCGAGGGUUCAACUCUAAGAAAUAGUACUCGCCAGUGUCCAUACUGUACAAAUACUCAACAGUUGCUGCUCCAACAUAAUUAACACAUUUAGCCAACCUUCGAGCUGACUGCUCCAACUUUUUAAUUGUCUCUGGUGGAGCUACAGUUAUUGGACCCUCCUCAAUAAUCUAUAGAAAACAAAACAAGAAAAGUUAUUCUUCAUGAGAAACAACUGCAAUAGCCAAUACAGUUCACAAAUAAAACAGAAUAUAAAAAAUAAAAAUAAAAACUUUAGAAUUAAAAGAAGAAGAGUACCCAAAGUCAAAUUAGUGACUAUUGAAACAUCAAAUCAAGUUUACUAGUCACAGCAAGAUUACCUUCUGGUGCCGCCUUUGAACACUGCAAUCACGACUGUGCAAAGCUGCAACAUUUCCAUGCUGAUCACAUAGUAACUGGACUUCUAAAUGUCGGCUCUGAUAGACAAUAAAUCAUUUGUUAAAUUGGCGAUAUAUGAACUGAGUCCAGCAAUUAUGCUCGUCUAUAUUAAAAUCAAUAGAGGUUCUAACCUGGGACGCGACUUUCAUUAUGAAUAUGGGAGAUCCAGGAACUUCACCCUGGACUUGCUUGAACAAUGCCCUAACUUCAUCAUCAUUAUGGACCUAGAGGUCAAACAUUUAAUUUCAGCCAAUUAUUCAAAAAGGGAGGACAAAGAUUCAAUCAAAUUCCUUAACAAGUUGGAUAAGCUAAUGAAACUCAUUUCAGGCUUAGUGAACGCGUUACUGCAUAUAAUAUCGUUUUUCUUUUUCUAUCCUUUUUCUUUUUUUUGGAUUUGGAGAAAACUUUUACCUAUAUAAGAUUCAAAGCUAGAUUACAACUUUAGUCAAGUAAAUAAUAUAAGUUCAAAAGAGAAGGGCAACACUGUCAUGCAUGAAGCAUACCUUUCUUAUGCCUUUACCACCACCACCCCAUGAUGCCUUAAUCAUGGCCGGGUAACCAACAACCUGACAACUUGCAAUUGCUUCCUCUGUUGUGUAAACGCAUGCUUCCCUAUAUAUUUCAUCUGGGAUUGUAACCAGGCAGCUCUCUGAAGGAAUUUUCACCUGGAAAUCAGAUAUUAAUGAUAUUAUAUGUGCGACAUAACUGCAAGAGAAACCAAAGGAAAAACAGGGCACAAAUUUCGGUGAAGAAAUUAUACAUGUGAUCCGCUCCAUGGAAGGGUAGGUACUUCAGCAGAUUGAGCAAUUAAUGAUGAACCGAUUUUAUCUCCUAAUGCUGCCAUAGAGACAGCUGGUGGCCCAAGAAAUAUUAUGCCCUUAGCAGUCAAUGCAUCUGGAAGCUCAGGGAUCUCAGAUGCAUGGCCCCAACCAGGCCACACUGCAUCAACAUGUGUUAUCUCUGCCAUCUGGGUAGUAAAGAACAAUGAAAUCAUUUGAAUCAAUAAUAAAUUUUACUAAACUGAUGAAAUGUUCAGAGCUACACAAGUAAUACAGCAUCUCGUGUUUUGUUUAACUUAUCAUGCUAUUUUAUAUUCCAUUGAGGUGGUAUGCAAUGAAGCUACUUUGGUAACAAGAAAUGCUCUCAGUUUGAGACAUUCAAUUGAUAACACACCCAAUGCAUUGGGAUAUAUAGAGUGUUUGAUGACAUUGUAAAAAUAAGCAUGGUUUACUGAAUUAGCUCAAUUUGCUUCACAUUUGGUAGCCAAUGAAACAAAGAGCCAGAAAAUCUGUUCAGGAUUGCAACCAUGUUAGUGAGGAAGUAUCUGCUGUAGAGGUCACAUACUUUGCCCAAGUGAACCACUCAUUUUUCGGAGUGACAGAUACAUCAAGAGAUAUAGUUCACAAGUAUACGAAUUCUGGAUGGCCCAUCAAUAGCCUCAUCAAUUGAAACUUCUAAUACAUUUUUAUAUUAAAUUCUUUAUUAAAUCCACUAACAAACAAAAAAAAUGUAAGAUCAAACCACUCAAACAUCUUUUAGCUAGAAGGGUCCUGGAUUUAUUGAGAUUUCUGCUUUCUGGUCAUACUUUCAUAGUAAUAAAAGAAAAAAUAUAUGUGGAAACACAUGAAAACAAAUGAGAGUCAAGAGCUUAGUACACACCUCUACAAUGAGCUGCACAUUGGCAUAGUUAUUAUUGUUAGUUCCACCAGGAACUUCCACAAACUGAUCAGCAAUUCUAAUGUGUUCUGCAUUGAUUCUCAUGUCUUCUGGUGUGGCCAUGGCCACCAACAAAACAGCCUUUUCUGUGCCAAAUGUUUCAUAAGCCCAUGUCCUCACACUACGUAUAAACUUGACUGCUGCCAUUCCAUUGUUUGCUAUUAAAAUGCUAUGGAUUGGCUUCUUCCCACCAAGGGCAUAGCAGAACUCCUCAACUGCAGGUGCCGCAGCAGGGGACCUGAUUGAUAGUCCCCCAUUUACGUACCCAUUAGUACGAGGAAUACUAACAGUUGAAAUCAAUCUCCUUUGAGCUUCUGACAUCCUGCAGGGAAAUAAAUCAUGUUAUCAACUUGGCCAAGCUAAUUUCAAGGAACAAAAUUAGAUAAAGAUUAUACACUUCAGUAACCAAAUAAGCUGUCUAGAAAAUAUUGAUAGAUUAAAGUUUCUGUAAUUGUGAAUUGAACAUGUCCUAACUUCCCCCCUUCUUUUCUGUUUUCCAUCAUUCAUAAAGCAAUCGACUCUACGAUCCUAUUUGCAAGAUAGCAGCGAAUGUAAACAUCAACCUGGUUAUACUUGGGCGGCCUUUCGAUACUUGCAUCUAAUUCUAUGCCAAUUAUGAACUCUAAUCUCAGCUGUAAUGCUUCACUAACCCAAGCUUAGGCACUUCAAACACAUCCUAAAGGUAUAGUCUUUGGGUGCAGUGUGGCAUAAACAUCGACUUCAAUCAAAAUAAGGCACUACCAAAAAGGAAAGAAACAAGGUGCAACUUUGUUCAACCACAAACUCCACAAAGGUGCAGACUUUGUUCCCAAAUUCACACCAAACACAACAAAGUCACAGUAUUUUGGAGUUCCCAAUACAAAUUCCAAUCCCAACUAUAACUGAACUACUUCCCAACUACUUGCACCCAUUAAAAAAAAAAAGACAGCAAUUUCAGAAAAAAGCAAAUUGCUUUAAAGGGUUAGAGGAAAUGGGUGACAGACCUUGAUGAAGAAAAUGAAGCAGGAGCAGCAACCCUGAUCGAAACUGCUUCAAAUUGGUAUCUGGGUAGCAAGCAUUACAAUGAAUCAAGAGAACCCAGAAUGCGUAUGUGAGAAUGUGAAAGGAAUGGUGAUCAUAGAGAGAGAGAGUGAGAUAUACAGAGAGAAAGAAUUCUAGACCCAAAUUUGAGUUUUUAAAUGAAUUGAAGAGAGGUAGGUGCGGGUUUGGGUUUGUAUUGCUAAGUUUUUAACGGCUUUAAUAGGAGUUGCACGUGGUAUCUGCCUCUGCCACACCAUCUUCCUUUGUUAGUAGUAACUCCCCAGCUACCCCCGCCCCUUCGGUCUCUCUCUUUCUCUGUUUCUCUCUCUAAAACAAUUCAAAGAUGAUGGAUGUGGGUCUCUCGUGUUCUUACUCCUCAAAUGAAUUUCCCUCGAGUUUUUGUGUUUUAAAUCCCCAAUUUGGGUCAUCAUGGUUCAUGAAUUUGGCACUUGCCGUGUGCCUUGAGCCCUUGACUGUGUGUUGGAUGGUGAGGUUAACCAACCAAACCUUCCCUCCCCCUUGUUCUGUCUUAUAUGAGUUCUAUGGGAUAAUGAUAUUGUUUAACUGUUAUGUAUGUAUACAUACUCAUACAUUAUAUUGCAAAGUUUUGUUAUUUGACAACAAAUCGGUGGCUUUUUGUUUGUUCAUUUUUCAAAAUUGAACUCGCACUAAAAGUAUGAUUUGUUUUGUACUAUUCUGUUAUGAUUUUGAUAUCACUCUAAUUUUAAUGAAUUGAUUUUCGUAACUGAAACAUGAUAUUAUAUCUUAAAAAAACAUUACAUACUCGAUGCAGUUUAUGAAUAAGCCACAAAUCAAGAAUAAAAAUAAAAGAUUGACACACAAGGGCACUCUUAAUGAUCUAACCUAAACCAAUUAAAUGUGACCGGCCGUUUCAAAAGAAACCACACACAACAUGUUGGACUGCUAACGAGUAUUCAGAUAUGUAGUAAUUGUUGAAGUAGUCUUGGGUUCAUAUGUUGCGAUGGAUGAAGUGGUCUAAACUCUUAUGUCACAUGUUGGUGGGAAGAUGGACGUGGCACUAGUUUGACCGGGUGAUCACAGCUGGGAGUUGGGUUGAUUAGGGCGGUUGUUGUUGGGCCCAAUCUUGGAAGGAUGGCUGAGCCGAACAAGACCACGAUUCCUAUUAGGUUGAGGGUGAUCAUGCUGCAUGCCCUUCUAGGUUAGUCCCCUCUGUGAAGGGCAGGGCCGGUCCAAUGUUUUGAAGGACCCGGUGCGAGAAAAAAUUGGGGCCCUUUGUGUUGAGAAAAAAAAACUUGAAAGAACACUGAUUCCAUUUUGAAGCCCCAGCCUCAAUUGCUUUCAAACCUCCAAGCUCCCUUCCUUUGCUUCUAAAUUUACGAACCAAUACAAGGAACAAGUUGUUAAAUUUAUUGUGUGUAUAUUUAAUUUAUGUAUAAAAUUAUAGGAAAUCAAAAGAAUACCUUUAGGGAAUAGAACAAGAGAGUUUGAGUGUAUAAACAAAGCCAAUUAAGAGAUAGGAGUUGGGAAAUUGAAGAUGAAGAUAGGAAGUAUGAGUACCAGGAGGAAACAGAGAGUAGAGAGACGGAGGAACAAUGAUCAAACCGAGGUGAUCAAUAAUUGAAUAAGGUUUUUUUAUUUUAGCAGGGGGCCUCGCUCGAACUACUGACCUGCUUGCCACAUCAAACAAAAACACUCCUUAAACCAACUCAACCAGACACCCAGUUUGUUAACAAAGAUAAAUUAUUAUAUAUAUAUAUAUAAACUUCCACUGGACAAAAAAAAAGAGGCCCCUUGCCGGCCGGGGGCCCUGUGCGGCGGCGCCGCCUUGACCACCCCAGGGCCGGCUCUGGUGAAGGGUACGGUAAUCCUAGAAGCAUUAUGAAUGUAUUGCAGUAUUGGAGAGGGGAGCUUCACAGGCUUGAAUCCUUACUUGCUAGCGUCUUAAUUUCUACGGUUACUUGUUAUGAUUGCAUCGAAGGCAAUUUAAUGUAGGUGAUACUUACUAUGUAUGCUUUGCAAUGAUAGACAUUUAAACUUUAGAAAGUAUAAAGUAGCUAGAUUGAAUAUAUGAACCAGUCUUCGAAUGAUGAUCGACAGAUAAGCGAUGUAGCUAGGUGGACUUUUAUGAGAAUAAUGUUGACAUUGAAUGAUGGUGUUAGCGGAUUAUGGUUGGGGGUUAGGUCCAUCCAUGCAUGCAUACUUACUCUUUAUAUAUCUAUCUUUCUUUCCCUCGUAUGUAUAUAUCAAAUGGAAAUUAUGAAGUCAUGGAAGACUCGCUAUCAAUUUACAAUCAUGGCAUAGACAGGAUGAUGUAAAGGGACUAGAAUAUAUAUUCAAGAACUUUUACGAUUAGUUAUGUCAAUUCGUUGUUUAACUUUAACAAGGGAAGCAAUAGCCUGAGCUACAAGUUGGUCUAGAUAGUUUCUCUACUUUUGAAUUACAUAGCUAGGGAAUAUGGUUCU